AGGAGCGACUGCAGGUGUUCUUCGCGACGGCCUCGGGUGUACUGCUCGAUGGAUUCGCGAGAUAGAAGAUCCCUGCUUCCUCCGCCGAUUCUAACCGCAGCUCUCGUUCUGGCCGUAGAGGCUUCGAUGUGCUUCAGAUCUAAAAGUGGAGAGAACUUGAAAUUGGGAGUCGGACAACGCAGUUUUGUGUUGACUUUCUGCUGCGGGAAGAUGAUGAUGUUCCACGGUUAGGUGGACGCCCGAGCCUAGUUGGCUAUUUUUCAAAAGUAUAUCCGCGGCCCAUAACCCUAAAUGGAGAUGGGAACGUGAGGGAGAGAUAAACAAAUGGACGUUAAAACCUGCGUUGUAUUCAUUCCAGACUAGCUCCACAUGCUAACGAUUUCAUCUGUAUCCAAUACAUUUUCAAAUGAUACGAUAUCACCACCGAGCUAUUCUCUUAAACUUUAGAUAUUUUAAAUAAUUGAUCAAUAUAGAGAGUUAUAAGGUAUUAGAUGACAUCGAAGGAGGAGCUGAUGCUCCCUUGAUGCUUUCUUAUGCGGCGCUUUUGUUCUUCUUCUUCUUGAGAUGAUUGAAUACAAGCAUAGAGAGAACAAUUGGCGCAACAAGCACCCACAAAGGAACAAUGUGAAAUGAAAUAGGGCAUCUCUUUGUUUCCCUUUCUCUAACUUUGCCCUUUCUCCAUAGAAGUGUUGGAAAUUUUUUUAAAAAUAUGAAAAAUAAGAAUUAUUGGAAAAAUAUUUAAAAUGAUGAGAAAAAUAAGAUCAAUUGUUUGAGGCUUGCAAAUACUAAAAGAUAAUUCUGCCUUUUGGAGUACAAAAUUCGAAUAGGCCCUAACAAUUAUCCUCCUAAGAUACAACAAACUUCUUCUUUAUUCCACAUUGAAUAAUAAUAGGAACAUGAACAAAGUUAUGUGCAUAACCCGGCCAAAAAAGGAAAGAUAUGUGAAUUCUAUUAAUUCGGUGAAUUGUGGUUUGAAAUUUAAUCUUAUAUUCAAACAAAAAAGAGAGCCAUUAAGAAACCAUUAUAAAUCAAUUAAGAAUUAAUAAAAUCGUAACCAUUAUAGAUUAAUAUCACACAAAAACCAUUACAAAUUGAUGACAGUUAAAAACCGUUACAAAAACAGUUACUUUUCACAGCUUCUAUCAAAGCCAUUACUUUCGAAUAUUUGAAAAACUGCCGAAUGGUAGAGUAAUGUUAACACUAUUUUUUCCAAAUAUUUAAAAUUAUUUCAUUGCAAUAUUUAAAUUAAUAUAUAUAGGUAAAAAUGUAAAUUAAGAAAUAGUGUUACUUUGUCAAUAUUUUCUUUUGCUGAUGCACAACAACAUAUAAAAGAAACUUGGGGAAAUGUGUAAAAAAGGCCGACCUAUUGUAUUGGUAUAAUUUAGUCAAAAACUUUUUAAUGGUGCAAAUUUAAUCCCAAACUUUAUGAUCCAGUAUCAAUUCAGUCAUUCAAGAUACUUUAAGUCGAAUAUUGCUAAAUGUCACCAAGCCUACGUGGCAUAAUUGAUGCUAACAUGGAUAAUUUUUAAUAAUUUGAUUUUUUUUCUUUUUUUUUUUUUUUCCCUCCUCUUUCUAGUGGCUGACAUGGCCACGGCUGGUGAGGGUUGGUCUCAUUUGAGUGAGGGUGAACCUUGUCGACCUCACUAGGGUGAGGGUGAGUGCUGGUGAGGCUGCCCCUGCAAGAUCAGGUGAGCCCAGGUGUUGCCUGGGCGAGGGUGGCCUCGCUAGAUUUGGCGAGGGCAACCUCACCGAUGCUUGCCAACCAUCGGAAAGAGAAGGGAAAAAACAAGAGAGAGAAAAAAAAUUAAAAAUAAAUUAGUACCAUUAUGAUUUAUGACUAAAUUGAUAUAAAUAUAAUAAGUUUAUAACUUUCUAACACUUUUACCAAGAAACUUGAGAUUCGUCUCGUAGAUCUACCUAAUCAAAUUUCCAUUGCAAUCUCUACACCUUCCAAUUUACUUCACAUUGAAUCAUACUCAUUCCUUUUUACAUAUGAGUGAAAUUAAAAAAAAAAAAUGCAAAAAUUUUCCGCAUCAAUGCCCGUUAUGCCAUGUAGGAUAGCUAGAGUACGUCAUCAAUUAUCGGUUAAAAUUGGGAGGAAUGACCAUAUUGGCAAAUCAUCAAAAGGUUUAUGAAUCAAUUGGUAAAAUUAAAAAGAUUUAAGAUUGAAUUGGCACAAGUACAACAUGUUUAAGACAUUUUCGGUAAUUUUUCCCAUUGAAAUGAGAAAACAUGGUAUUUGUCUUUUGCAAUAUUGCUUGUUAAUUGGAUUUGGUUGUUUAAUGUGGAAACAAAGAAAUAAUCUUCAUCCUCAAUCACUAAAAAGCAAUUAAAAAAAGAAAAGAAGAAGAAGAUUUGAAUAGAAGGCAUGCGCUUUAAAGAUUUGUUCAUGAAGUUUUGGUUCAUUAUUAGAAGAUAUGUCAAAAAAAAAAUAGAAUGAAAUUUAAAGAUAAUUGAGGGAAGAGUUAUUGAAGCCAAAUAGAUUAUUCUUUUAAUGAAUUCUAAAGGACCAUAAAUGGGACUUACGUUUUUUUUUUUUUUUAGGUCGGUCCUACUUUAUUCAUCUUCUAACUCUCACUCUCACUCUCAAACUUUUGUCUUGCCUCCUUGCAGAGCGUGGGAGUCGAAAUCCAUACUUGAAACUAAAUCAUCCCCACCCCAACCCCUUAAGAAGGUGGAGAUUUGAACACCCCACCUUCACCUUCCAUGUUGGAAGAAUAGCCACCAGGACAAACCCUAUUUGUUGAACUUACGUUUUUCGCUUGCCCAUCAUAAUCAAAUUUUGUCGCACUUUUAUUUUAUAUCAAUCUAGGUCGAGGAAAAUUAAUAAGUCUAAUUUGGCCAAAAAAGAUAAAUUAAUGAGUCUACCCACUUGUUGUCACGCCCCGAACCUCGAGCGCAUGCCCAUCCCUAUCUGGUCGAUAAUAAAUUGCGACUUCCCAGGACGAGUCGCUGACCCUUUCCAUUUUAUUGCACAUGCGGAAGCGAAAAGAAAUCCCCUGACAGUAAUCAUCUCGAGAUAGAAAGGCAGGACAAUAGAUUCACAAACAAACAUGCUUUUAUAUAUACACUGAGUCAUGUACACAAGUCUAUGGCCAAAAGACUACAAAAGACUGGCCUUCCAAAAAGAAGCGGUCCUAACUGACCUACGCUUCCGAUCACCUCCUCUCAGCUCCAGGUCCUCCACUCGAUGACCCUGAAAAUGUUGUCCCACAACGGGGUGAGAUAUCAUCUCAGCAAGUCUAAGCUCUAAACCCCAAUUAGGAGGGAAAUAUGCCAAGAAGUGUCCUAAUCACACAAUCACACAAUCAAUGAGACUUACCUCGUCUCAGAUCUACCCUGCAAGUCAGUACAAUUUAUCUCAUAAACAACAUGAGAGUAUGAGCAACAAAUAAGCUCCAAUAAUUGAAACGCCACAUUCAAUUAAUCAUGCGUUCCUAGUUUUGAUCUCGGCAUAUAGCACGGCCUACUCUCAGUUCGGCGGUCUUCUGGCAUUGCCAGGCUUCGUCUCACCCCAUUGAGCACGGCAACUUCUCUUUAUCAGACGGCUUUCCCAAAGGAGCAUAGGGUCCAAAAUCAACUGCGACCGGCUUCCCGUUGUCCAGGGGGUAUCCCACAUAGGGAUAACGUCUAGCUCAACAGCCCGGGACGAUUUCUCUUGACCAUCACACGAUCACUCAAAUAUGGCCCAGGGCACCGUGCAUUGCACUCAAAUGCUUUAAUUAAAAUGGUGAGCCUGGCCUUUUUCUUCAUAUUAGAAAUUCACAUGAAAUUACUCGUGUGUGGGUACACGGUCAACUUGAUCCAGAAAAAUUGAUAUUCAUCCUUUUUGAAAUCCCACUAUUUUCUAUAGUACUAAAAACCAUUUUCAGUGUCAAAACCCGACACCUGGGAUUUUCUAAAUAAAUAUUGGAAAUUCACAAUUUUUGGAAUUAAAUACCGAAAAUCAAAUUAGCACUCAAUUUGCAUAAUUUAACACUCGAUUGCAAAAAUUAACCACACCAUUGCAAUCAGCACGAAAUUCCGGUCACCGGCUAUCCCGGCCUAAUUUCCGGAAAAAUAAUUAAUAAUUAAAUAAUUACUGAAAUUAAUUAAAUAAAUCAAUUUAAAUUCUAAAAAUACUAACCUAGGGCAAAAUCAUUAAAUUAAUAACCAAUACGAACUCGGAGAAAUUCCCGAACCCUACUAGAUAAUUAGUACAAUUUAUUUAGGCCUUAGCUAAACCAUGCUAAACCACCUAACAUGCUCAAUUAAAUAAUUCAAUUUCUAAUUUAAUCUAACUAACCACCUAAUUCCUAAUAAAAUAAAUCUAACACCCCUUAAACGUUAUUAGCCUACUAAGCAGAGUUUAGAGUAUAAACUCACCGGUUAAUUGCGGAAAUCGGUUCACCGCGACAACGACGCGACGGCGGCCGAAACCUUAAUUUUUGUCAGUGUCGACGAACUUGGGCCGGGCCUAAACUUAGCCCAACACAACUCAGCAAGGCUGGGUUAAGGUCUUGGGCUUCUGCAGGCUACUGGUCACGGGCUUGGGCCUUCUUCUCGAGCCCAAAAUGGCUGAACUUCAAAUGGGCUAAAACCAACUGAACUUGGGCCUGAGCUUGGGCUUCAAAAUUUGCUGGAGAAGGGCUGAAAAUCACUGGGCUGAAGACACUUGCUGGACUUGACUGCACUUGGGCCAAAGAUUGCUGGAAUGGACCGACGUUGCUGCUGCUGAAAGCUGGGCCUCGCUGACUCACGGGCUGAAGAAGAACGAGCGAGCUAGCGGAGAUGGAACUCGCAGAUACUGGGCCAUCGUGGGAGCUGCUGCAAGGACUUUCGGUGCUGAGGGUUUGACCAACAAAACGAGCGGUAGAGAGAAGAUGCGGCAGCAGCUUCGCUUGGUGGACCUUUGGACGGAGAGAGAUGGUUCGGUGGAAUCCCGGGGUUUCUUUGGUCAACAGUAGGGCUUUCGUGGAGGGGUGUGUUGACCGGCGGGGAACAAACCGAAGUGGAGAUUGUUGGAUAUAUUAUUAAUAUAGUCCAAAACAAUAUGUUCACAUACAAGCCCAAUAGGUAAAAGCAUGGUUAUUUGGGUCCAUAUGGGCCGAAGCCCAAUAACGUGCAUAUAAAAACUCUAGGGUUUCCCUACGCUGGAGGUAACACUGUUGAGCGUUCCAAACUUGACGUCUCUUGGUGUAAUACUUCAAGCAACUACUUCUUCUCUCUCAAACCUAUUACCUCUAACAAUCUUGAAGUAUUAGGUUCGUGUGUCGGAUUUGAGCGAGUAAAGUGUGUUCUUGAAGAUUUCGUCAAGACGAACUCGCGGCUGUAAUUUACUUUCGAUUUCGACGGUGAUAUUGGCCGGGAUCUGAGUUUGAAGAUUUGGGUGACCGAAAUCUUUGAUUCAAAAACCCAAAAAUUAUAGCCAAUUUAAGAGGGUGAAACCACUUGGGCUUUGAUCUACUCGUCGCUACGAACGUUUUUAGUGGUCACUCGCGUCAAUCGGAGGUCGGACGGAGAAGUUAUGGCACCCGGAAGUUUCCAUCUGAAUUUCUAGCGAAUUUUGGGGACGAAAUUUGUAGCGAAUUUCGGGGGGCGAAAUUUUUCAGCGAGUUUCAGUAACAAGGGCAGUCCAUCUUAAGGUUUUUGGGUGCUCCAGAUCCGUUUUUGGGGUUUGUUUUGGCAAAUUCCAUCUCUACAGAGCGGUUUGAUCAAGGUUAGGGGAGUUAUUCAACUUUGUUGCUCUGAGGACUUCAAGGUGCACUCUUUCUAACACUUUGCUUUGAUUAAAAUGGCAAAGCGUAGUUCCUAUGAUAUUAUAAAGUUGCAAUCUUUUGAUGUUACUGAAUUUCAUGGCUGGAAAUUACAUGUUCAAUUUGGCAUGAAAGAACGUGACAUAUUCUAUACUGUAUUGAGCGAUUUUACAUCUACCACUGAAGAUGUGAAUGAAUAUCAAUGGAACAAAGAUGAGGAUUUUUGUAAAGAUUACUUGCUGAACUCUCUGAAUCCUAAAAGGAUAGUCCAGUCUAGUUGAAUUGUAUCAUCAAGUUUGGAAUGACACAAUUUUUCCAGAUAGAACAUUUGAAUUAGGUUAAAGUCAUCUUCAUCAAAUUUGGAAUGAGACAACUCACCCUCUUCAAUUAGUCAGCAACUGUGAACAUCAAUGAAACAUAUAAACUGUGCUUAUCAUUGUAGCCAAUAAAGAAAGAUUUGAUAAUUCAAAACACAGGUAAGUAAAUGGUAGUUAAGACUUGCCUAUAUAGUCUUUAACCCCAGUUCCCCCACUGUUUUGAAUAAUCGAUCUUUAGGCAUACCUUUGGUGAGAGUAUCGGCUAUGUUAUCCUUCGAUCUCACAUCGAUCAAGGUGAUAACCCCUUGUUCUCUUAGAUAAUUCAACAACGCAUGUCUCAGUCUCACAUGUCUUCUCUUUGAAUUAAAGAGAGUAUUCUUGACGACUUGGACAGCUGCUCGAUUAUCACAAAAUAGGCUUAAAGAAUUAAUCUUUAGCCGAGUCAAAGGAAUAUCCAUAAUCAGAUUCUUUAUCCACUCUGCCUCUUCACCGGCUGAGGCUAAAGCAAAAAGUUCCGAUUCCAUAGACGACAAUGCAAUACAAGUCUGUCGUUUGGAUUUCCAAGUAAUAGCAGCUCCACCCAAAGUGAAUACAUACCCACUAGUGGACUUACUAUUUCCAAUAUCUGAGCACCAUGAGGCAUCAGAAUAUCCAUCCACAACUGGAGGAUAACCAGAAUAAUAAAGCGCAUAAUCUUUAGUACCUUUAAGGUAUCUCAUUAGCCUAUUAAGGGCAUCCCAAUGCUCUUUACUAGGAUUACUAGUAAAACGACUCAGCAUACCAACUGUAAAGGCUAUGUCGGGUCUAGUGCAACUCAUAGCAUACAUGAGACUACCAAUCAGUUUCGAGUACUUUAACUGAUCCACGCUGGUCCCUUCAUUAAGACUCAGUCUAUUAUUAUAAUCACAUGGUGUCUCACUCGGUUUACACUUAUCGUAUCCCCAAGUAGAAAGUAGCUGCUCAAUAUAAUGAGUCUGGCUAAGGGAGAUGACUUGCCGUUCAAAGCUUACUUUCAUACCAAGAAUGGUAUUAGCAAUACCAAGAUCUUUCAUGUCAAAUUCUUUAGCUAAAGUAGCUUUCACGUCGCUCACUACAGAAUGAUCGGAACCAAGAAUUAACAUGUCAUCAACAUACAAGCAAAUGAUGACUAUCUUAUUUGAUAUAGAACGAUGGUAAAGGCAUUUAUCUGAAUAACUAGACUGAAAGCCAUAACUCUUUACCACUUCAUCAAAUUUAAGAUGCCACAUCUUAGGUGCUUGUUUAAGACCAUAUAGAGAUUUAUUUAAUUUACAAACUUUGUCCUCAAGACCUUUCAUAACAUAUCCUUCCGGUUGUUCCAUGUAAAUUUCCUCAUUUAAAUCCCCAUUUAAGAAAGCUGUUUUUACAUCCAUUUGAUGCACUACAAAGUGUUCAAUAGAUGCCAAAGCAAGAAGAAUUCUUAUAGUUGAUAGAUGACACACAGGUGAAUAGACAUCAAAAUAGUCUAUUCCACUCUGUUGUUUAUAGCCUUUAGCUACUAAGCGUGCUUUGUAUCUGGCUAUUGAUCCAUCACUAUUCAGUUUCUUCUUCAACACCCAUUUACAGCCUAUAGCUUUAGCCCCUUUUGGCAAAUUUACUAGCUGCCAAGUGUAAUUCUGCAGCAGAGAGCUCAUUUCAUCAUCUAUGGCUUCUGCCCACAGUAGAGAUUCCCUAGAUCUCAUUGCUUCUUGAUAGGAGAAUGGAUCAUCCUCAAGAUGGUAAGCAACAAAGUCUUCACCAAAACUUUUGGGAAUUCUCUCUCUUGUAGAUACUCUAACUGGAAUUGGUUCAAUAGCCAACUGUGUGGAAUUAGUGUCAGAAGGGCCUGCUUCAGAUUCUACAGGAAAUUCUGAAAUCAUAUCUGUAGAUCCAGAAACAUUCAAGCCUUGAUCUCUGAUAAACUUGUUUUCAAAGAACACUGCAUCUCUAGAUUCUAUCACUGUGUUAGUAGAUAGAUCUAAAAACCUAUUUGCAGCGCUAUCUUCUGCACUACCUAGAUAUACACAAGUAAUAGUUCUAGAUCCCACCUUAGGUUUUUUAGGAUCUGGUAUACUUACAUAAGCAAUACAGCCCCAAGUCUUAAGAGUAUCAUAUCUACAAGGGCGCUUAUGCCAUAUCUCAUAAGGUGUCAUGGACAACUUAGAGUGCGGCAACCUGUUCAAGAUGUGAUUAGCAGUUAGAACUGCUUCUCCCCAGUAGGAGGAAGGCAUGCCAGCUGUAAGUAACAUAGAGUUUAACAUUUCAGUUAACGUUCUAUUCUUACGCUCUGCAACACCAUUUGAUUGGGGUGAAUAAGGAGCAGUGGUUUCAAGUAUUAUACCUUCUGAAGCACAAAAUUCCUUGAACCUUGACAUAGUAUAUUCUCCUCCUCUAUCACUCCUAAACCUCUUAAUUUUCAAGUUGAGUUGAUUUUCUACUCUAGACUUGAAAAUCUUAAAUUUUUCAAAAGCCUCAUCUUUCGAUUUCAACAAAUAGACAUGACAAUAUCUAGAAAAAUCAUCUAUGAAUGUUAUUAGAUACUUCCGACCACCUUUAGUAAUGUAAUUUCUAAAAUCACAAAUGUCAGAAUGUAUUAGCUCAAGAAGUUGUGUGCUUUUAGAAAUCAAUUUAAAGGGUUUUCUAGUAAUUUUAGCCUGUGCACACACUUCACACUUAUCAAAUCGAAUAGAAGUAUCUAAUGGAAUGUUAUGAGUUUUAGCUAAAUGUUGCAUUUUCCUGUAAUUCACAUGUCCAAGUCUAUUGUGUAGCAACUUUGGAUCGAUCAAAGUAGAAUUCACAUGGUUUAUGCUAUCAGCAUUUAAACUCAACCUAUACAUACCAUUAACCAUGAAUGCACAACCAAAAUAAUAUGAGUUAACAGAUAAAGUUACUCUACCAUUCAUAGUUGAAAAAGACAUACCAGCUUUAUCAAGUAAACUCAUAGAUAUUAAAUUCUUCUUAAGUAAAGGUACUACUCUAACAUGUUUCAGAGUUAGUAAUUUACCUGAAGAAAGCACCAAAUUUGCAGUUCCAGCAUGAGUCACCUUUGCCUCACCACCAUUGCAAUUUUCCACAGUGUCUUUCACUGGGUAGCAGAGUGUAAGUUGCCAAGGAAGCCAAAUAACGACACACCACAUAAUGAGGCCAAUAUGCUUAUUAGAGGAUCUGAGCCUCGAGCCUUUAUUGGAAUGAUGAAGAAUGGAAAGGCCAGCAUCUCUUCUGAGUGGUGGUUGGACAGUGGCGCUACUUGUCAUGCUACAAAUGACAAGAAUUUACUCACUGAGGUCACAGAAGUGCAAGACACUGUGGAAAAUUGCAAUGGUGGUGAGGCAAAGGUGACUCAUGCUGGAACUGCAAAUUUGGUGCUUUCUUCAGGUAAAUUCAUCUUGUUUUUGCAUGUAAGUGCUGUUGUGAAUCAUAAUUCAGGUCCAAUUCAAAUGGGUUACUAAGUCGAAGAGGAAUAAGUUUGCAAAGUACUUCCACCGAAUAUGGGUUCUAGAUUUCUAUAUUUCCUCACAGUUAUUGGCUAUGCCAUUAUCUCAUAGAGGGUGAUGAUCUAUGACUUAUUUUAUCCCAUAAUUGGUUUGAAAUUAAUUUCCUUCAAUAAACAAUGUAUCAUGGUAGCAUGCAAAAUAUUUGAUAUACUGAAUUAAGGAGGAAGAUAUUAUACUGGAUUUAUUAAGCUGAAUUUUUUAGAAAUUUUUUCUAUUUAGUCUUGAAGUAGUUGAUAUAUGUUUCUAGCAGAAAGUAAUUAUAAGACAAGUAGUGACAACUAGUCAUUCCUGAUCAGCUGAAGGUGAAAGAAAUAAUAGUUCCCUUCUCCCUUCCUUUCCUCAUGCGCUCUUCUGAUGUUUUUACCCUUCGUUUCAGCUGCCAGCAACUCUUAAAAUAGGUGUCACGGUUGUUAUAUCUCCCUUGCUAUCUCUCAUUCCAGAUCAAAUAAUUACUCUAACGCUCAAGUAUGGAAUACCAUCUACUUUCUUGAACUCUCAACAAACUGCUGCCCAAGCGGCAGCUAUUCUCCAAGAACUAAGGCAAGGUUUAGCUCUAUUGGACUUCUAGAUUUUUUAUGCUUAGUGUUGUGACUGUCAAAUUAUUAAUCUCCACUUCUGCUUUGCCUACCUUUUCAGAAAAGAUAAACCAUCAUGUAAGUUAUUGUAUGUAACUCCUGAAAGGAAUGUGGAAACCCAUCAUUUCUAGAGAUAUUGAAAUGCUUGCAUAAAAAGGUAUUGUUUCUAAUGUACCUCGAAAGCAAGUUAACUUUCCGAACUUUUCUUCAUUUUUUGUGUUUCUAGCCUAAUUAAAUUGUCAGUGUUACACUAGACCUUUUGAAGUCCAGAACCCUGUGAAGUUCUAAUAGAACAUAAUGCAUCGUUCCUUGUUUGAGAGAUCUAGGUUCCGUCGUUUGGGAACACUUAGUGGCACAUCGUUGAUUGUAUUGAGGAAAGAGCACACGCUUAAUUAAGCUCCAAUGGAAAUUACUUCCCAGAGUAAUUAGAACCGUCUUGUGUUUUAGGGCAUUGUUUCUCGAGAAAUCUGUUACUUUUGAGGUUGCCAUCAUAAGUUCUGUAGGUCAUAUGAUUUGUAAUAUUCCUCAAAAUAUAAUAAUCUGCCAAAGUUUUGGGUAAAUUUCUUUUUCUAUGAUUAGUAAAUUACUGGAUAAAUCAUAACUUUCCUUUGGUGACGUAAUUGUCCUUGUUGGUAGUAAUUUUACCUCUAAAACAUCCUUUCAUAGGUUUGCUUUUGAGUUUGGGGGGUGUACUUUUUCUUUAAAGGUCAUAAAUUAUCUGAAACCUAUGUUUGGUAAAAUUCCACAAAAAUAAUAUUUUUCAGUUAAUAGUAAAUUUGUUUUGUGUAUUUUUACUAACGUAUGUAAAUUAAUUGUAACUCUCCUCUUGUUUGCACUCGACAGUUUUGAGACCUAUGUUUUAGUUAUUUUCCUUACUCAUCGUAACUUUUCUUAAUCAAAUGAUAAUUUGAUCAAGUUUGUGUUCACAAUUUUCCUUUAAUGUUCGGAAGUGAUGAAAGAAAAUCGAUUUUGCAAAAUAGAUUUGACGGAUCAUGUUUUUUCCCUUUUUAUCCAACAAUCCAUGCUGAAUGCAGGAUCAAUCUCGUAAAAGAGAACUUUCACUUAUGAAAUUUCCAUUUCACUUAUGAAAUUUCCAUCACAAUCAAGACGUUUUGGCCAUAAUAAAGUAGUUCUUUAGUUUUUGCCAAACGAUAAAGUAGUGUUGGAAAUGUUAUUUUUCCAAAAUUUUGUAAAUCGUUCCAUUGAAAUAUAUUAAAGGUAAAAAUGUAACUAACCAACUAUAUUACUUUGUCAAUAUCUUCUUUUGCUGAUGCACGGCAACAGAUAAAUGAAAUUUGAAUGUUCUCUUUGCAUCCGAACGUGGGACCCUCCUCAAUCAGGGGGUCUUUGGACUUUGGUAUGGCGAUGGCGGAUCGACUUUGUCGUGACUUAAUUGACUCUGUCGUCCUACCGUUCGUUGGAUCGGUCGCGAACGAGAAGUGCGUUCUUUCCAUUGGAAAAGGCUAGAGAGCCAACUACCCAAAUAAGCUUCAUUCAAUAAACUAGACUCGAACGAAUAAGACUUUGGAUCCUGUAAUUUUCAUGUUUGGAGUGAAAUCGAAAUGCCAAAUUGGGUUCCACAACGAAUGAGGCUUUUCUUGAAAAGCGUGCAGGGAAUGACUCGGCAAUAGCUUAUAGGGAGAUGCCAAUUCCAGAUCUUGAAACCACUAUACCCUCCCAAGCCCAAUUCAAUCACUUUGCCACCACUACUGUUGGCCGCAAGUUGUCACCCCCAUUGGUCCCUAGUCGCCCAUCGCUUAUUUUAGUUGCCACUACCGUUGAGAAGUAUUCCUUUUCAAAAGAUUCAAAUCUCUUACAAUUCAGGCAAAUUUUUUUUUUUUGAACGAAAUUCAGGCAAUUGAAAAGGAGAAAGAGAUUCCUCAAUAUGAGAAUCCAUUUGAGGAAUUACUUGCCAUGGAACUGACAAAGCCUUAGCGUAAGCUUUUAGUUUGAAUAUGAAAACGCCAUCCGAUAAAUAUAUGUUACAAUCCCAAGAUAUAUGAGCGACCUCUCAUUUCAGCAUAUACAAUUUAAUUUUUUUAUUAAUGUGAAACACAUUGCAAUUUUAGAAUAAUAAAAUAAUUCACACUAAACUUUUUUAAGGGGAAAAAAGAAAGAGAGACUAAAGUGUAACCACACCGUUGGUCACUGAAAGAAAUCUAAUAACAUUCAACGCAUAUUCUUGUGAUUGAAAUAAGGAAAAUGGCGUCCAUCCUUCUCCUCCCUCUUGAUCAUAUGAUUUUCAUAGAGAGGCUAUCUAAAUACACGUCAGAAAAUUGUGGCAACUUGAUAAUUAUUUUAGCUUAAUUCCGAGGGAAAAUUAUUGAUUCAUUUCUCAAUUUUCACUCAAGAUUGCUCAUGUGGUGAUCUAAUAAGUAUCGACCAUUUGACGUGGCAUGGUUGGCGACCUGAUGUAGACCACUUUAAUUGAAACGUUUCGUGAAACCCACUUUAAUUUCAGCAGGCACAAUUCUCCAAUUUGUCGAAAGCCUCACUCUCCGUUGGCGACCAAGUUUAGUGUUGUCUCCUUUCACAUCCGUCGGCAAGCCCCUCAUAGGAAUUCCCACGUCUGGAAAAUACAUAUAUCCACCUUAACUUGCUCUUUUUCAUAUUCUAAGGUCUGAAUCUUCACCUUGUUCAUCCUCGAAUCGCGAUAUUUUUAACGCUCUUCUGUCUCCCUGUCUCUCCCAGCAUUCUUUGGUAUGUUCUGAUUCUCGAUGUGAUUCUGAUGGUGAAGUCAAUGGGGAUGCUUGUACCAUCUGUCGCCAUCGCGCUUGAUGGUCUGCUUUUCUUAUCUUUGGGUUUUUACCAUAUGGAUCACGUGCAAGACAAAGGAACUCAGCAGCGACAGGAGAAGAAAGAAACGGGUCGCUCUUCCAAAUCUGUUGCGUAAAUCAUCAUCAUCGCCCAGCCUCAGCCCACAAAAAGCAGUAGGCUCACUGGAGCUUUGUGCCCAUUGCCAAGCCCCCCCAUCCCAUCCCAUUCAAUUCAAUCACGCCCCCUAUCCCAAGAUCAACUUUGGAAAGGAGACGUUAGAUCCCUAUCACCACACCACCCCUGGCCAUCACAAACAACAAAUUUGUGUCCAUUGGAGCUGCGACUAAGUGAGCGAUCCCCUAGCCGCCCCCAGUAUGAUAACUUAACAUGUAUUUUCGCCAAUAUCAGCGACGCAACCGGGCCAACCCCAUUGGGCAAUUAGGCUUUCCAGGCCCAUGCUUGUCUCAAUAUGUCCUAAUUUUCAUAUAUUAUGAUGAUCCGUCUUAUCAUGACGAGUCUUAAGAAGACCCGCAUUCCGCAAAAAAGCAAAAUGAGAAUUUUCAUCAUAGACCCGCCAAGAACAUAACCAUCCAAACUUUAUAAGUUUGACAUGCAAAGUCUUCUCUUUGCAGAGGAAAAAAGAAAAGAAAAGAGAAAGACAUGAGAAAGUAUUUUAUGCGAGAGUUAACUAUUACCGUCGACGUGAGGGGGGUGUUCGUAUAAUUUAAGAUUAGGCGUUAGGUCCAUGGACUUAAAAAUUCAACAUAUGAAGGAAAUAAAGAGUGCACAUAAAAAGAGAGAAGAAAAAAAAAAGGACAACCCUAAAAUAACAAGAAAAAAAAUACGUGACAAAGAAAGGAAAGGAGAUCUUCUUGGAUUCCAUGUUUCAUGUGUCACAAAUUGGAGUUUAUAUAAUUUGAAUUUAAAAAAAAUAGUAAUGCUGCUUAGCAAAAAGUAAAGAAAUUACCUAAUCAAUAAAUUUAUUGUACAUAUGCCAAUUCAAUUCCAAAUUCUUUCAAUUUUAUCAAUUUAGUUUUAAAAAUUUACGCGAAAUUUCAGUAGUCAUUUUGGUCAACUUUCGCUAGAAAUCAUUGAUGUAGCAGUCUAAGUAUCGUCAGCCGUCUUAUGUGGUACACUACAAUGUUAGCAAUUUUAAGCAAAAUUAGCCAAAAUGAUUAUAUUAUGAUUUUGAGCAAAGAUUUUAAAUUAAUUUGAUAAAAUCAAAAAGUUUAUAACUUAAUUGAGGGAAAUUUUCAAAAAAUGACCUGAAGUGCCAUGAUUUUCUCAAAUAAGGACUCAAAGUGAACUUUGUUUCAAAUAAGGACUUGAAGUGGCAUUGAUUGUUUCAAAUAAGGACCUGAAGUGGUUUUGGUUGUUUUAAAUAAGGACUUGACUACAUCGGUUGCCGAUUGAUUAAAUUUUCCAACUGGUUAAUGGUAUUUUAAUUAUUUACCAUUUCCCUUAUUUUCUUCCUUUUUUCUCUUUUAUUUCCCUUUUUUUUUUUUUUUGUUCUUCUUUUUCCGCUUCACCGGUGGUUGGCCAGUCACUGGCAAUGCCCAUAGAGGGCUGGGCGAGGGUUGCCCUCAUCGACAAGGGCCACCCACGCCAGCCACAGGUGAGGUGACGCUCUCCUAGGGCCAUCUGCGAGGUUGGCCUUCGUCUACCCCAGACGAGGGCUCGACCACCCUUGCCAGCCAUAGGCGAGGCCCAAGCGAGGGCUCGACCACCCUCGCCAGCAGGCAACGACCCUCGCUGGCCCUUACCAACGGCCGGUCUGGCAAGGGUCGCCUCGCCCAAGUGAGUCUAUCCCUCACCUAUGGUCGGUGUGGGCGGCCCUCAUCGGCAAGGGUGACCCUCGCCCAACCCUCUGUGGGCAUCGUCAGUGGCUGGCUGACCACCAGUGAAGAGGAAGAAGAAGAACUAGCAAAAAAAAAAAGAAAAAGAAAUGGCAAAUGACAAAAAUAUCUUUGAUCGUCGGAAAGUCAGGUUCAUAUUUGAAAUAGACAUAGUCACUUCAGGUUCUCAUUUGAAAUAACAUUCACUUCAGGCCCUUAUUUGAGAAAGUAAUGUCACUUUAUAUUCUUAUUUGAAACAAGGUCCACUUCAAGUCCUUAUUUGAGAAAAUAAGGGCACUUUAGGUCCCUUUUUGGAAUUUUCCCCUAAAUUGAUACAUUUAUAAAUAAUUUUAGAUUUGAUUUGACAAUCUCCCCGAUAAUUAUAACCGGCAACCACUUUAUUAAAUAAAAUUUGGCUUGUUGACAUCCACGGUCUACUUGCAACUCUCACGUAAAAUACUUACUCUUCUUCUUAUGCUUACAUAGACCCAACGAGCUUCGAUCCAAGGUUGAUCCUGGACUAACCCUGGACCAGCCUAACCCUACUGGUCCUGGUUCGGUUCCUAAAAAGAUUGGGUCGGUCCUUGGUCCUAAAAUUUCUGGACCAGCACUAUGCGGGUUGGUUUUCGGUCCUGAGAGUUUCGAGUUGGUCAAAUCCAAACCAACCCUGAUUAUAUAUAAUAUUAUUUAUAAUUUUUUAUAUAGAGAAAACCUUAAAAUUAAACGGCUUUAACAACAUUAAACGGCUCUUUAGUAAGAAGUUCAAGUAAUUUUACAUUGUUCUUUAAUAACUUAGGUUUUUAAUGUCUUUUACGACGUCAAUUGUCAUAAUUUACGAAGGAUGAAAAUGUUUUUAUGAGGAGUCCUCACGGCAUCCAAAAAGGCACCUUAUGGCAUCUUUUUUUAGUAUUCUUUCUCUUCUAUCUUAUUUGUUUUCUUAGUCUUCAAUUUGCUAAAAUCGAAAAAAAACAACUUCUCCGCUCACCACUUGACACUCGCCUUGCUCGCUUUGGGUCACUUGUGCCGCUCGAUGCUCGCUUGGCUUGUUGCUCCUUGCUCGAUAUUCGAUGCUCAUUCUAUUCAACGCUCACCUCGCUUGAUCCUCACCGCUUGUCUUUCUUAGCUGACCUUGCUCAUCAUCGAAUCCAUUGGGUUGGUACGGUCCCUUUCAAAGAGUACAAAAAAUGAAAUAAAAAAUUAUUGGUUAGUCCUGAGUUGACAUUGAAACUGGACCAAACUUAUUGGAUCAGUCUAAUCCUCAAUCGUUUUUUUAAGGAGUACAAAAAAUGAAAUAAAAUAUUAUCAGUUGAUCCGGGUUGACCCUGAAACUGAAUUGAACCCAUUGGGUCGGUCCGGUCCUCAAUCUCAAGCUCAAUAGGGUCGAUCCUCAGCUCCAAAAAUUGAGAACCGGCAUUGUGCAGAUUGGUCCUAAGGUUAAGGGUGGACUAGCCCAACUUGGAUCAUGCUCACCCCUACCCAAGGGUGUCAAAUGAAACUAGAAAAACUUAUGGAGGGGGGGUGGGGAGCAAAAAUAGAGCUUCCAACAAAACUCAGGUGCAAAACGGAAUUUUUUAAAGAAAUAAAAAAAAUAAUGUGGCUACGGUAAAAAAGCAGAGCAAAAGAACAUCAGUCCCGCCAUCACUAGCAUGGUUUUUCUUCGAAGAGAGCGCUUCAAGCGAGCGCUCUCUCUCUCUCUCGAGACUAUGGAUCGAUUCGAUUACUACCCUCAUCGAUCGAUCGAUUCGAAUCCCGUUGAACAGGUUGAGAUUCCAUGGAGCAUCACGGGUUGGAGGAGGCAGAGAAGUCUCGGGUUGCUGAGCUUGGCUCUCGAUUUCGGCUUCGACAAGCAGUCCUCCAGCAAGUGCCUGGGACUGUCUCGUUUCGCUCUGUAGUAACUUUAAUCGUUACUUUGUCACUCAUCUUUUCUUUUUUCUUUAUGCUGAUAAGCAUUUGCAGAGGUUAAAUUGUGUAGGUAUUUCAUCGUCCACCACGACGAUGGUGAUGAUGGCUAGGGAAUAGUCUGCUCUAAGCUUGAAUAGAUCGGAGCGGGUUUGGUGAAGUAGUCUUAUCUCUGAUGAUAACUGGGCACGCGGCAAAGUUUUUCUUGCUUAUUGGCCAAAAUGCGCUGUAUCUGGUCAUUAGAUAAUGACAGCAAAUAAUCAAUGUCUUGGUAUUAUGCACAGUUGCAAAUGAAUUUAUAUAGAAAUGAAGCUCUUCUGUUAAUGCAUUUUUCAUUUUGACUUUUAAUUCCAAAUUGCUGAUGAGUGUAUUGAUUGAACGUACCAAUGGCAAUACUGGCAUUGCCUUUGGCAUUCAUGGCGGCAACAAAGGGUUACGGGCUAAUCAUUACAAUGCCAGCAUCUAUGAGUUUGGAAAGAAGGAUCAUCCUCCGUGCUUUUGGAGCUGAGGUGGUCCUGACCAAUCCUGCCAAGGGCGUGAAGGGGGCUAUUCAGAAGGCAGUGGAGAUAAUGGCAAGGAAACCUAACUCUUACAUUCUUCAGCAGUUCGAGAAUCCUGCUAACCCAAAGGUACAUGUGUGGUCAACUGUCAUGUCUUGCUGGUUGUGUAUGCAGGUGAUAACACGAACUUCAGCUUGGUUGUCAUUGUUCUGUUUAAAUACAUUAUAAAACAACCGGACCAGAGAUAUGGAAAGGCUUGGGCGCCAAAGUAGACGCCUUUGUUUCUGGGAUAGGAACUGGUGGUACUAAAACUGGUGCUGAAAAGUUUCUGAAAGAGCUAAACCCUCAUAUAAAGGCAGAUUGUUUUUAUGAUACUGUUUAUCACGUGUUGAACGACAAAAUAUUGUCAAUUUUGGGUGAUUAUCAACUAUGGAUGCCUUGAAUAAAAAACCUUGUGCCUGAACAUUCUUUUUGUGUUGAACCUGUUGAAAGCCCCUUAUUAUCUGGAGGCAAGCUUGGUUAGUUCCCUUGAACACGUUCAUACCUUUCGCGAUUAUUAAAUCUCCAUGCACAAUCUAGUUUAUCAUCCAAUUUUGUUUCAUUAAGAUUGGUUGAUGACCUGUGAGAGAUUGAUAUGAUGUGGUCUCAUUUUUAGUCCUUAUAGUUCAAGGCUCAUGGUUUCGCAUCAUUGCAUGGGAAGAGAAACAAACGGUCUCCGUAGAAAGCUAAAACAUGAGAUGCUAAAUUGUUGAUAUAAAUAGGCUGAUAAAAAAAGAAAUAGAAAAGAAAAGAAAUAGAAAAUUAAAAGAAAAUUAAAAAUAAUUCAAAUUAAAAAAAAUAAAAUAAAAAAUAAAAAAUCAUUCUAACAAAAAAAGAAAAGAAGAAAAAGAAAGGGGAGAAGGAAGUGAGGAUUUAUAGAUGUGUGAGAUAAGAGAGAUUAAGUUAGGAAAAUAUUUUUCACUUUUCAAAAGUAGAAAAUAUUUUCCUUUAAUUUAGAAGACUUUUUUUUCCUUUCAUGGAAAACAUUUUCCCGGAAAUUAUUUUCCGCAAAACGAAUGGAGCCUUAAAUAUUGAUAAUUUUCCUUACUCAUUAUAACUUUUUUCAAUCAAAUGAAAGUUUGAUCACCUUGUGUUCGCAACUCUCCUUUAACGUUUGCAAAUCCAAAUUCUAUGACAAAAAGUAGAUUCCGCAAAACAAAUUUGACGAAUUGGUUUUUUUCCCUUUCUUAUCCAGUGGUCCACGUUGAAUGCGGGACCAGUCCCAUAAAAGGAGAGCUUCGACUUAUGGAAUUUCCAUUGUGAUCAUGAUGUUUAUGGCACAACAAAAUAAUGUUUUCUUUUUUGCCAAACAGUAACGUGGUGUUAGUACCAACCAAAAAAAAAAAAAACAAUGUUGAAAACCUAUCUUUCCAAAUUAUUUGAAGUUUGCUCUAUAUAUAUAUAAAGCUAAAAAUUUAAAUUAAGAUAAGUAUUACUUUAUCAAUUUUUCCUUUUGCUGAUAAACAGCAACAGAUAAAAAGAAAUUUGAGAUACUUUUCAUAUUCUUAUGUAUACAAAGAAGCCUUUACCCAUAUUCCGAUCUGCCAAGUUCAAGAAUGAUUCAAGCCCGGAAAAGAAAAAUGUAAAAUAAAAAGGCCCCCAUCCCCCAAAAACCAACCAGACCCAACCGUGGAGGCAAAAAUAGAACUUCAACAAACUUCGGGUGCGAAAACGGAAUUUUCAAAAGAAUGGAAAAAAUAUGGCUCNNNNNNNNNNNNNNNNNNNNNNNNNNNNNNNNNNNNNNNNNNNNNNNNNNNNNNNNNNNNNNNNNNNNNNNNNNNNNNNNNNNNNNNNNNNNNNNNNNNNAUAAAAUAGGAAAGGAAAAACAUCAUCAAUCCCGCCAUAGUUGGCAGGGUUUUUCGAACAGAGCACUUCGAGCGCGCGCUCUCUCUCUCUCUCUCAAGAGACUACGGAUCGAUUCAAUUCCACUUCGUGCAUCAUCGAUCGAUCGCUCGAAUCGCGUCGAGCAGGUUGAGAUUCCAUGGAGGUAUCGGGGCUUGGAGGUAGAGAAAGCUCGGUUGCAGAACUUGGCUCUCGAGUUCGGCUUCAACGAGCAGUCCGCCAGCAAGUGCUUGGAUCGUAACGUUUCCCUCUACGGUAACUCGGAUCGUUACUUCGUCGCCCAUUUUUCAUGCUGAUUACCGUUGGCAGAGGUUAUGUAGGUAUUUCUCGUCCCCGCGAAGACGAUGGCUGUGGAAUAGUUUGUUCUAGGUUUGAAAAGGAGCACUUUUUGUCCUGGUCAGCGUUGCGGAGGUUGUAUAGGUCCUUCUGGAAGUCUGCUUUAGGUUUGAAUAGAUUGGAGCUGGUUUAGCGAAGUAGUCUUUUUGACGAACAAAAUGUCUGGUGCUGUUCCAGUUUGAUGUGUUUAGGUUGCUUUGGGUGGUGGUUUUUCUUGGUUAUUAGCCGAAUCGCGUGAUAUCUGGUGAUUAGGGAAUGACGUAAUUGCUUGUGUUGUGAAGAUAAUUUUUCAUUGAUCGAUUGUGCAUUUGCAAGGAAGGAGAUCUAUUGCUGUCAGUCGUCACUCUGAUGAUGGCUCUGGAAUAGUCUCCCUUUUGGAUUUGAAUGGACCGGAGCUGGUUAAAUCUAGUUCAUUGAGCGUUAAUCCCAUCCCCGUUUCUCCGAGGGUUUUGCGGAGUAGUCUUAUUGACUAGCGAAAUGUCUAACUUAUCUCUGAACUAACCACAAAUUACAUAUGGUGUCUUGCCUACAAUUAAGUAUGGCAUCUCACGGUAUUAGCUGCAGAUUACAUGUAGAUUGUAAUUAUUUGAUCUUUUUUUGGUCAUGGAACUUGCAAAAUCAUCUCUCUUCUUUUGGUUGUCUGAAGGUGAUGAAGGUCAAGAAUUUAUCACUGUGGAGCACUAUGGCGAUGAUUUUCUAGCAGAACUCGCCGAAACUAUGCAAGACACUGAGGAUUGGGAUGAUUUGCAAGCUGCAGAAUCAGAAGCUUGUGGAGUUUUGACUGAUAUGUUUGGCCAAGAUACCCCUAAUGAUAGCAAAUGCAAUGUUGUGCACGAUAUUAAUAUUAUAGAAGAUUCUCCACAACCUGAGAAAAAUCGGACUGUUUUUUUAGGUGGAUUCCUCUACUGACAGUGAAGACGAAGAAAUAUAUUUGGCAGUAAAAUGGACAGGAAACCCUCAUGCUAUAUUCCUGAUCAAAGCAGUACUCCAAGCAAUUCAUCCACUCAACUUCUGGCCAGACCAUCUUCAGAAUACAUGGUAUGCUUCUGAAAACUGUGAAUUUGUCUCGCUCCUUCUGCCCCCACCNNNNNNNNNNNNNNNNNNNNNNNNNNNNNNNNNNNNNNNNNNNNNNNNNNNNNNNNNNNNNNNNNNNNNNNNNNNNNNNNNNNNNNNNNNNNNNNNNNNNNNNNNNNNNNNNNNNNUGUCUCAGUAUUGUAUAGGGUUGGCCUUUCGGUGAAGCAACUGUGGACACCUGAAGAGGCCACAGUAGUUACUGGGAAAAUCCCAGGAGUCUGGCCACAAUGGUCUAGUUGUUUAGGAGGUUGACAAAAAGUUGGCAGAUCUGGGCACUACUUUUUGUUCUUUUAACAAUGAUUCUGCAACCCAUAUAUCCAUUUAUUUUUGUUGCUGAGGUAUAUCGGGGUCAACAAGGACAAUGAGAAGAAUUGAGAACAGACUGUCUUGGUUUUUGAUUGGGAGAGAUUAGAGUAUCCUUCUUAUAAAACUGUUGGGAAACGCUUUCCACUCGUCUCAUUCGUUUUUGAUUGACUCUCACAACUGGCGUUUUGGUUAGUGAGACAUUGAUUUAUUACUAUUGUAAUUCCCUCUUGGUCCUUGUGGAACAACUCCUCCUGUUGACGUAGAUGAAACUGCUCAUCCCCUUAAAUUAGGGUGUCACUGUUCUUUGCUCUUAAAAAUAUGUCUUUCCUGUCAUUUCCAGUUUGCUUGUAAUUCUGCUCCCAGCAAAGGACCUCAUGCAAUGUAACUGUACAAAAGUAUUUAAUAAAUUGCUUAUGAGGUCUCUCAUCUGAUCAAAUGUUUGGUAGACACUCCUAACUUGCCAGUUACUUCCACGGUCUUUAAGAUCUAAAAUGACUUUAUUAGAACUGUUUGGUCAAUAAAAACAGUUGACUUUUGUUUUGGAUGACAUAACAAUACCCAUAUUCCAUACGUCCCAUUGAUGGCCUUAACUGCAACUGCCACUUAGCCAGUUCAUGAGGUACGAAACUUGCACAUUAUCCUCCAGAUCAUGUUAAAAAAUCAUUUGGGUAUGAUCGAAAUGUACAUCUAUUGCAGGAUAUCCUAAAAGCUCUUGGGAUCCGCCAUGCUCUUGUUCUGGAGCCAAGCGUUGACAGACCAAACCUAAAAUAUGAGGUCAUAGCUAAGACCAAUGAACCACUGAAGCAGCUUGGAGAGCUGCUAAAGAAUCGNNNNNNNNNNNNNNNNNNNNNNNNNNNNNNNNNNNNNNNNNNNNNNNNNNNNNNNNNNNNNNNNNNNNNNNNNNNNNNNNNNNNNNNNNNNNNNNNNNNNAUGUUGCAAAAUACUUGAAUGAUAAGUGCGGUAUAAAAGACAGGGUACUAUCAUGCUGGAUUAGCAGCCAUCAAAGAGUAGCUGUUCAAAAGAAAUGGCAUACUGGAGAGGUCCAGGUUGUAUGAGUAACCAUUGCUUUGGGAUGGGAAUAGAGAAACCUGAUGUUAUAAGUUGAAAUGGACUCUAAGCCUUUGCCUGCUUUUAGUUUUAGAAUCAAGGUGACAUGCUGGCAAAUGCUCAACUAUUUCACUUUUUUUCUAAUGUUUAGCUUCGCUGAUCGGUUUGAUAGUUUGCUUGGAAGUAAACUUUGCUGUUUCCAUGGUUGAGUGGCCUGCUAAAUUGUCAUUCUUGGCUAUUGAUUGCGGGAACUAGCAAAUUAUGUGUCUUUUUCAAGUCAAAUUCUUUCUUCCAUGCAUGGAACUUUGGUGUGCUGAAAUUAAGUUAAACUAGGAUAAAGUUCUUUUCUUUACUGUAAAAGUGGCAAAUGAAUCUGAUCUAACUUGACUUUCUGUUAUAAUGUCUGUCAUAUUUCAACUUAUUUUAGUUGGUUCAGUAAUUAUUUUUUUUAUGGCCUGUGGUCAGUGUUUUGUCGUCCACAACACAAUGUCCAAGUCAAUCGAAAGCUACUACCAAGAAUCAAGGAGGGCAGGAAGAGAUAAUCUACCAGCAGUGGGCAUUGCUCUAUAUGGCAAAAAGGAUUUCAGCCGGGUUGUGUCCAUGUUAAGGAGUGGUCAAGGAUGUAAAACAGAAAUCCUUAGAAGUGCAAUGGCUUAAGCUAGGAAAAUGCAGCAAUAUUGUGAACUCAAGGUAAUCCAGUUUCUCAAUUUAUCUCUGAUGAUCUCAACUAAGCGAUGCUUCUAUUUUGUCUUUACACUUUCCAUUUUGUUCUAUUGAUUGUUGUUAGUGUUGGUCUGGCAUUAACUCGUCUGCGUGCUGGAUUAUUAGAUGGGUCUGUUGACAACAUAUUCAAACAAUAAUGGAACCUUUGGGAUAAACUCAUAAUCCGCACACCUAAAUGGAGCAAAGUCUAUUGAUAAACAUGCGUUUCCUCUCUAAUUUGUGAAAUUCUCAGGAUGAGUGAUGGCGGCAAACCUUACUUGGACACUAUGGCAAGUCUUUGAAUCAGAAAGACUGUAAAUACGGUUCUAAUCCCUAUGACAAUUGUCUCAAAGCCUCUAUCGAGCUAAACCUUUCAGGUGUCAACUCUCCUGAGGGCGAAAGGUGUUGACUUACGCAUGACCUUGAGCCGCACAGUUCUAGUUCCAUCAUCCGCAAUUAUUGGAAGACUAAAUGGUAAUGGAGGGGCAGAGGUCCUUAACUAUGGACACAGAAUUCUUCAGUUCCGAUGGUUCAAUAGGACGAUUCGACCAGUUGACCUUUAGACUAGAACCCAAACCGGUUCUUUGACCGUCCGGGUCUGGAAGCGCUGCUUGACACGAUUUCAAGACCCGAUUAUUACAUGUAAACAAUAAUUGCCGGCUCUCACAGCGAUAUUGCUGUGAUAACAUGGAGGUUUGAGCGGCACUAACUUGGCAGAGAUAUGGUGGCUACUCGAUGCUGACAUUAUCUUCCUAAGGAUGAUGCAAGGUCAGGCCGUGGCACUAACUUGGCGGUGAAUAGCGCUAGCUUGUCUGAUGAGUGGUUCGUUGACAAAUGAGUGUCGAAGUUUGGCGGGGUAUGAUGGCACAGAUUGGAGGAGUUUUUGUCGUCCCGUUUCGUGAGGCUUUCAUCCAUGGUGGAGUUGGGUCGCAGUGGACCUCAAUUCAGCAACGUGAUUCUUGGAUUCAAAGUCUUUUUCAGUAGAUUUCUGCAGAGGCUGUCUCAACGGGGAUGGCGAGCUUCGAAACGCUUGCGAGCGACGAAUGAACUGAAGGCCUUUUGUACAUAACCAGAAUGUCUAAUACAGGUACUGGCGAUCAGUUAUGUACACCCCAAAGUAGUAUAGAGAUGCACAAUAUCAUGAAUGUAGACAUAAAAUGACCAUCUACAAGAUGCACACAUUAUUCUGAAUAUGUAAGAGAUUUGGUAAUUGUGUGUUGUUCACCGCAAUCAUAUCUGACAAUUUGUAACAUUGUUUUGUAAAUUAAUGAUUUUUAUCCAAUAUUGCAAUUAAACAGAUUAUGGGUGUUGUUUGAAGGGAGGUUUUUGGCUCAUACUUUUGUUAGACAAAUAGGAGCCUGGUACAAUUUUUACACUUAAAGUUAGGUUUUCCUCUAUAUAUAUAGCUUUUCAGAGUUUGAAAUUAGGUUUUUAUUUAAUGUUAACAUCUCAAUUUUUUGAAACUCGGAGAAUGAUUUUCAAAGCUGGCGUUUUAAUUUGGUUCGUAGCAAGAAAAAUUUCUUGUUAAUUAUUUAUGGGUUAUUGAAUGCGUGAAAAUGAGUAAACAUGGUAUUUGUCUUCUGCAGUAUUGCUUGGUAAUUGGAUUUGGUUGUUAAUGUGUAAACAAAGAAAUAAUAUUCAUCUUCAGUCGCAAAAAAGAUAAAUAAAUAAAUAAAAGAAGAAGAAGAUUUUGAAUAGAAGGCGCGGUUUAAGAAAUUGUUCAAGAAAUUAUGUUCUAUUAUUAGAAGAUAUGCGAAGAACACUAUUUACUAUCAAUUAUUAAAAUGUUUGCAUCUUGGAUAAUGUUUUUUAUUGAUUCAUAACCAAUGACUUUCAAAAAUAGUCGCAGGACAAGUUAUUGAAGCCAAUUAGAUUAUUCUAUCAAAAGAACUAUAAAUGAAUAUUAUCUUUUUGAUAGCUGAUCAUAAUUAAAUUUUAUCACUUCCAUUUUAUAUCAAUCUUGGCAGAGGAUAUUCUUACCUUUUACCAAAAAAAAAAAAAAAAAUCUUGGCAGAGGAGAACUAAUAAGUGUAAUUUGGCCAAAAUAAGAAAAAUUGUAUACUUCGUCAGUCACUAAUUAUUUGUCUUGGUCUUUUAUAAUGGUUUGAGUCUUGGUCUUUGUUUUUUAUUUUUUUUCGCUAGAAAUAGUCUUGGUCUUCGUAGCAUCUUCCACUAGCUAACAUGGAUGGGACCUUAGAUUGUGACAGUCUCCCCAAGGGUAAGAAUCAAUAUUUGCCUUUUAAAAGAUGGUCAUGGAUAAUGAUGUAGAAAUAUGAUAUUCUUAAAUUAAUCAUUGUAGGUAAAAGCACAGCAAUUAUAAUAUUAUUUCAAUUUAAAAAAUAGAAUUAAAUAGGAAAACUACUCUUAUUUAUGAAUGUACUUACGCAAUACUAUCGUUAGAUUAUAAUUAUUAUUGGUUGUAAUCUUGCUGAGAUGAUUCAAUGUUUGCUGAGAUUUCAUGUAUACAUUUAUGAAUGCAGCCAACACUUAGAAAGAUUAUUGAAAUCUCUUGAAAUUGUGACAAGAGGGCAAACAAAGAAAUAAUUAAAUGUUGGAAAUGUGGUACGGUCACUUUUCAACUUGCUCACAGGAAGAAAACGGUAAGUAGAUGCUAAUCUGCAAAUUCAUUAAUUGAUUCUUGUCCAUCUCCUUCUAAGUUCUAAACUUCAUCAAUCCAUUGAAUGUGCGAGUAUAUUUCAGACAAGUUAUAAUAAGGUGCAUAUAAUUAUAUAGUAUUUUCCAUUUGAUAAACAGUGCGAUGCACUAAAUAAACCAUAUAGUCCAACCACAUAUUUCCUCGACCUUUGAGAAUUAAGGAAAAAAUUAAACCAUUUCAUGGCAUCUUAUUUAAUAAGAUUUGAUCAAGCAGUGAAUGGAUUCCAAUUAGAUUGUUAUUUUGGACAUGCAUUGAAAAUGUAUAAAUGGAUGAAUUAUUUCUAGUAUAUCUCAUAUCGGCCUAUUGGAUUACGAUAUAUGGAAAUUGGAUCAGUGCUGAUGGUCAAACUACGUCUUGAGAUAUGUUAUAUAUUUAUAGGCCGGUUUCAUUUCAAGCUUAAUCACAAUUGACAUGAUUUCUAAGCUAACUACAAUCAAUGUAAUUUUCGAGCCUUAUCACCUCCCAAAACGUGACUUGAACUGAGCAUCGAGUUAUGCUUGGGCCAGCACCACCCACACAUGGUCGGCAUGGGCCUAGACAUUUUAAAAUUUAAUUUAAGAAAAAUUAAAUUAAAAACAAUGGUAAUUUUUUUCAAAUAAUAAAAAUAAUGAGAAAUCAGUUGAUGGAAAUUAAUAAGAAAAAACACUCAUUCAGUAAACCAAAUUGAACACAAGUAUAUCUUCUAAUAAUUUGAAAAAAAAAAUUACAUCUAGUGGUGCUCUAAUAAUGAUUACACUCACACAAUCGUGUCAUUCACCAUGAUUCAUAUAAUCCAUUACUGUCGGUGCUCUCAUGUCCAUGUUAGGCACCGUUCCUCCAAAGUUAAUCACUGUUUCGUACGGACGCCUUGUAUGUGCCUCAAAACUAGGCAAUCGAUGUUUCAUGUAUUCCACCGGAAUUGAGUGUUUUACCUAAUCUUUUUUGUAUUUGUGUUCUGCAUCUACCAAUUCCUUUAUAUAGAUAGCCAUUUCCGAAAUUCCUACCUCUUUUUCCUAUUAUUUGCAAUUAAUUGUAUCAUAAGGAUGCGUAUAUUAGUCUUUGGCUUAACAUUAUCUCCCCUGCAAAAUGGAUUCCACUCGAGAAAGGCACUCUAAAGACCAAUGUGGAUGGCUCGCAUGCGAAGGGACAGAGAACAGGAAGCGUUGCCCUGCGUUUGUAGAGACGAGUCUAGGAACGUUGUCGCUGGAUUUACGAAGGAAGUGCAGGCGAACUCGACGGAGCAAGUGAAAGCUCUAGCGUGCACAGAAGCCAUAUGCUUCUUCUCUUCUACUUAUGAACUCAAGUACUAUCUAGAGUUAGAUAAUUAGAUAACGAAAAGCGCGCUUUCAGAUCAAGAACAGCCAACGUGGAGCAUCCAUGCUCUCAUCUCUGAAGGCAAAAACUUGCUGGCCAAUACAAGGGCAUCCGAUUAGCCCACUGUAGGAGAGAAGCGAGCCAAGUAGUUGAUUGAAUCUCUAAGGCCCAUCGGCAAAAAUCCCUUCCCACCAACUGGGUUUCUUAUCCCCAAAAAUAUUGUAGCAUCUAAUUUGUUUAGAGGUUCGCUUAGUUUGUAAUUGCGGAACUACUUGAAAUAAUGAAAGCAGUUUAUUUUGACAAAAAAAAAAACAUUUAGAUUUCUCCACCAUCUCCCGAAAUGUAGAAGAUUGUACAAAAUUUUUGUAGAAACACUUAAUUGCAUAAUUUUUCGAUAAUCAGGGUUCUNNNNNNNNNNNNNNNNNNNNNNNNNNNNNNNNNNNNNNNNNNNNNNNNNNNNNNNNNNNNNNNNNNNNNNNNNNNNNNNNNNNNNNNNNNNNNNNNNNNNNNNNNNNNNNNNNNNNNNNNNNNNNNNNNNNNNNNNNNNNNNNNNNNNNNNNNNNNNNNNNNNNNNNNNNNNNNNNNNNNNNNNNNNNNNNNNNNNNNNNNNNNNNNNNNNNNNNNNNNNNNNNNNNNNNNNNNNNNNNNNNNNNNNNNNNNNNNNNUCUUUCGCGUGGCUCCUCACACUUGCCCAUCCACCACUGCGAGCGAUUGAUUCCAUGAAUCGGUCAGAGUCUUAGGCCUUAUGUGAUAAACAAAUGCAAAAAUGGCGGAUUUCUAGAAGGGCGACGGUGCUUUAUUUUGCUUGAAGGGGAUGAUUAGGAUGAACCCUUUGCCUUCACCUCUCUGUUUCGCUCAAUUCUUGGAGGGAUCGUGGAGAAGAUGAAGAAGCAUUGCGCCCCGGCCAUCGACAGGACCGGUCGGAUGAAUUCGAAGGGAAUGACUCCCAUCGUUUUUAGGCCAUGCAUUCUGAUGAAUUGUCUCUGCCAAUUGAAAAGGUCCAAUCUUGGACUCGAACCCACAACCGUGAGCUUUAAUCCUCAACAGAUGGCUUAUGUUGCAUAGGCAAAUGGAAAAUAAAGCAAUGAUUUUGUUAAUGAAUACAACGCGAUUUACCAUUCAUUGUUAAAAGAUUUGCAUCUUGGAAAUGUUUUAUUGGUUGACAAUCAUUGAUUUUUCAAUGAUAGAUGAGAAGAGUUAUUGAUGGAAUUGAAAGGACCAUCAAUGAGUUUACUUUUUUUGUUGGCUGAUCAUGAUGAAAUUUUGUCGCACUUUCAUUUUAUAUCGAUCUAGGCCAAGGACAACUAAUAGAUUUUAUUUGGCUGAAACAUCUUCUGACUAGGUAACAUAAAUAGAACCUUAGGCUCCAUAUGUUUCGCGGAAAACAUUAGACCAUGUGAUUGCAUUAAGGAGCCAUGAACCCAACCCUUUGCUAAUAGGGAGGCUGUUAUCAUCCGUGAACACAAAUAUUGGUACAAUUCCAUCAUUUAUCAGAUUGUUGUAGUCUCGAAAGCUCAAGAAUACAUCACGAUGAUCACUUCCCCCCUUUGGUGUUGGAGAGAUGAAUGUAGAUGUAGAUGCUCUGGCAGCGCUCUUCUUUUCAGCGAGCGCUAUUGCUUCCACUAUUUUUCCUUGUCUUGAGAAGAUUAUAAGCGCACACCGAAAGAAGAAUUGGCGCGACAAGCACCACUAAAAGAAUGCCCCAAAGCCGAACUGAUGGCACUUCGUUGUUCUCGUUGAUUUGGCUCUUCCCUUCAUCCAUGGAAGUCCAAUAGCAAAAAGAAAAAAAGGGAAAUGCCCUUCCUGUAGCGCAUAAAGGAUAGAUUAACGUAUCAACCGGACUUAUGCAUCAACUUGAAACGAUCGCCGCCACACGCUCAAGAGUGAAGUGCACAACUUCUUUUACCCAAGAAAAAGAAAAAUUACAGACCCAAGGGUGUCAAACGAAACCAGGAAAAACUUGUGGGGGGCAAAAAGAGAGCUUAAACAAACUUCGGGCGCGAAAACGGAAUAUUUAAUAAAUAGAAAGGUAAAACGUCAAUCCCGCCAUCGCUGGCGAGGUUUUUCGAACAGAGUACUUCGAGCGCACGCUCUCCAGAGAGAGGCUAGCGAUCGAUUCGAUUCCGGCUCGUGCAUCGUCGAUCGAUCGAAUCGCUCGAAAAGGUUGGAAUUCCACGGGGGAUUGGGGCUUGGAGGAGGUAGAGAAAGCUCGGGGUUGCUCAGCUUGGCUCUCGAGUUCAGCUUUGAUGAGCAGUCUGCUAGCAAGUGCUUGGACCAUCUCGUUUCGCUCUACGGUAACGCGAAUCAUUACGUCGAGUUAUGUAGCCCAUUUUUUAUGCUGAUUGGCCGUCGAAGCACUUGCUGGCAGACUGCUCGUCGAAGCUGAACUCGAGAGCCAAGCUCAGCAACCCCCGUGGUCCGUCCUCCAGCAACGCGGCGUCAAGGUCCGCGGAUCCGACGUAAGUGCCCCUUUUUCUCCCACGCGCAUUGCGCACGCUAGCAAGAACACUCGUUCGGCAGAUGACUUGACGCGCUAGCUCAGCUUGCGUAGUUCCCGUCCUGCUGGGUUGGCGUCGGAAUUCGCGAUAGCUUCGGUUCAUUCAAUGCACGAAAAGUUUCGCGCAAUGUUUUUUUUUUUUUUUUGGUUACGUGAAAGCCUAGUUGAGGUCUUGUAAUGCUCGGGGCGUCUUGAUUUCAGCUUUUCAUGCUUUGAAAUGUGCGGCCGUGAGUUGUGGGGAUAAGAGGUGGGAGAGUGUGUGAUGUGUUUGAUUUUAUGCUCCAUCCAGUGGAGAUGCGAAUAUGGGUUCCUGGGUAGUUUCGUAUACGGCCUUGCUGUUUGGAUAAUUCUUCUGUGGAUAAAUUGUCCUUGUUCUCAAGGAUUUUUCUGUGCUGGCUGAGCUGUGGUCAUUGGUCAAAUUUUGUACUCUGGACAUGCUUACUAACAAGAUUAGUGAGUUGACAGUCUCUUUAAAUGGGUUCGUAGGUUUUGUGUGAGAGGGUGAGUCUCCCGUUGAUGAACUUCACAUUUCAUAUCUCGAAAUUUGAGUUAGAUUCGAGAUACAGCAGGAUAAGUUUGGUGUGACUGUAAGAGAUUCAUGCCAAAUAUUAGGAUACGGAUAUCCAACAAACAUCAAACGGCAGAGAGGGCGGUCAGUUUGAUGAGUAUCAGCUGUCUCAUAAUUGGACUCGACUAUAAAGUGGUAAAUGAGGAUUGCACAUCGAGUGUGUUUAUCAGGUUGUUCAGUUUGGUAUUUUUCAUACAGUCAUAUAAUUUUUAAUUUCUCGCAUCACUGAACUAAGUGCAAAUCGCAUAUUGUAUAUUGUGUUUAUUUGAUCUCUUAUUUGCCAUGGAAUGUGCAAAAUCAUCUCUUUCUUCUUUUGGUUUUCUUAAGGUGACGAAGGUCAAGAGUUUAUCACUGUAGAGCACUGUGGCAAUGACUUCCUAGCAGAACUUGAUGAAACCAUGCGAGAUUCUAAGGAUUGGGAUGAAUUGCAAGCUGUGGAAAUCAGAAACUUGUGGAGUUUUGACUGACAUGUUUGGCCAAGAUAUCGGUAGUGACGGUGAAUGCAAUGGUAUACAAGAUAUCGAUAUUGUAGAAGAUUCUCCACAACCUAAGAAGAACCAAACUUUUCUUGAGGUGAAGAUUCCUCUACUGAUAGUGAUGACGAAGACAAUAUAUUUUCAGUAAAAUAGGCAGGAAAUCUACAUACUAUGUUCCUAACUAAAGUGGUACUCCGAGCGAUUCUUUCAUUCAACUUUUGGCCGAACAAUUUUUUAGAAUCCAUGGUAUGCUUCAACCAUGGACAUAGCCAAUACAUGCCAAACCACUUAAAUCACUAUGUCACUGUUAUGUUCUCAUAUAAUUUAUUCUCUGCUUGAUCAUUUUUAAUUUUGCUUGCAAUUUUGCACAUAGCAAAGGACCUACAUGAUGUACAUGUACAAAAGCAUUUAGUAAAUUUUUCUUGUGGUGCCUCUCAUCCAAUGAAAUGUCCAAUAGACAGUCAUAACUUUUGCCAAUUGCUUCCAAAAUAUUCGAGAUCCAAAAUGACAUAUUGGAACUCUUUGGUCGAUAAAGAAGUUGACUUUUGUUUUGGAAGAUGUACAAGUACCUAUUUUCUCAAAAUACUUUGAGAGUAUAGCAAAUCAUCAAAGUGUGGAACUCAGUGAUCUAGUGUCUUUGAUAGGAGUGUUUUGCAUAAAUGAAGGCUUGUAAUUUCUUUGUGCACAUUUUUUAUUUUCCAUGACAAUCCAUUUCAGAAACUAUUACGGUGCUAAAGAGGCUUAUUCCUGUUGAAGGACUGUAAGAGCACUGUCACUCAAGGUUCAAUAUCAGUUUCAAAUAAAAACGGCCAAUGUUGUCAUAUUCAGAAAUAGAGCAUUUUGACCAAUGUGGCAUUAGGCAUGUAAAGCUUCUGUAGCCAAGCAAGAUUGCUUCAUUCUCAUGCUCAUUGGAGGUGGUAAAAGUUUAUGUUACUAGGUUAGUGAAUGUUAACAUUAUUUCAUUUGCGCAAUGAUCGAAUGAAGACGUAAGUGUGGAGACAAUGUUUAGAGCGCAAGCCCUGUGCACUUUGCUCAAUGGUUCCACUGAUUAAAUACUAGACAGAUAGACCUGUACAUUGAAAUUUUAAGCUUUUUAAUGAUCUUGUAAUCUGCUUUGUUAGCACUGUUGCAAAGUUUGUGCUUAAACUUAAGGAUGAAAAUAUUUUCGAAAUGCAAAUUAAGCUAUAGGAAGUGAUUCGGGUACAGAACCAUGGGUUCCAAUGUACAGGAUCUGACUAAGUUGGAAAAGAAUAUUAUACUGGACAUUCUUGUUCUGCCUUCGCACAUUUCUAUCUAUUCUGUGAUUUCUAGAAUUUGAGGUCUUUACUAUUCUUCUAGGACCUUCUAAUUACUUACUGAAAAAUUUAUCUUGUUUUUGCAUGUAAGUGUUGUUGUCAGUCAUAGUUAAGGUCCAAUUCAAAAGGGUUAUUAAGUCAAAGUUUUUAAAUUACUUGUGCCAAAUACAUAUUUAGAUCUCUAUAUUUCCUGCAGGUAUGUGCUAUGUUAUCAUCUCAACUGGGGUGAUCAUGUAAGAUGGAUCUUGGUAGCAUGCAACAUAUUUGAUCUACUGAAUCACGAAGGAAGAUAUUAAUCUGAAUUUAUUAAUUUAAGUUAUCCUGAAGUAUUUUCUGUUGAGUCUUGAAGUAGAUGAUAUAUGUUUCUAACUGAGGUAAAUAUAAGACAAACAGUGACAACUGGUGCUUUCUGAUCAGCCGAAGGUGAAUGAACGGAUAAUUCCCUCAUCCCAUCUUCUCUUCAUGUGCUCUUCUGAUGUUUUUACCCUUCGUUUCAGCUACCAACAACUCUUAAACCAGGUGUCACAUUUCAUUAUAUGUCCCCUGCUAUCUAUCAUCCAGGACAAAAUAAUUACUCUAACCCUCCAUAUGUUACAGUGGAUGCACAUUUUUUAUGUAUUUAAUGAAAAGGUUCAUGCCUAAGAUGUUUGCCUCAAAUAAAUUUUAGGAUCUUAGUGUUCCUAGAGAAGUAUAUCAUAGCAUACAAUCAUCAUNNNNNNNNNNNNNNNNNNNNNNNNNNNNNNNNNNNNNNNNNNNNNNNNNNNNNNNNNNNNNNNNNNNNNNNNNNNNNNNNNNNNNNNNNNNNNNNNNNNNNNNNNNNNNNNNNNNNNNNNNNNNNNNNNNNNNNNNNNNNNNNNNNNNNNNNNNNNNNNNNNNNNNNNNNNNNNNNNNNNNNNNNNNNNNNNNNNNNNNNNNNNUGCUUGCAUAGAAAGGUACUAUUUCUGAUACACUGUAACUUUCUUUUUAAAGUUUCUUUUUAACUUUUUGAUGCUCGACUGUCGUGCAUUGCAAGCACAACUAGCUGGUUUUGUUGUUGAUGAGGCACAUUGUGUGAGGUAUGUUCUUUGGCAUCCUUGCAUCUGAAGCAAAGUUAAUGCUAAAGUUACUUCAAAAGGAAUAUGUAUUUAUGAUGUUGCCACUGCAAAACUACUGUCCUUGUCCCAGAUAAAGAAGUUAACUUUUAUAUACACUCACUCAAACUCUCUUUUUUGAACGUUUUUGCAUAUUAUGUAUUUCUAGCCUAAGUACAUUGUCCGUAGUACACUGAACCUCCUGAAACCCAAACCUUCUGUGAUGAUCUAGUAUAACAGAAUGCAAUGUUGAAAUAACUAAUUUUGGAAAUGAUCUAGUUCCUUCUUGUGGGAAAAGUCAGUGGCACAUCGUUAAUCAAAUAAAGCAAAAUGCACACAACUAAAAUGAGUUCCAAUGGGAAUUACUUUCGGAAGUAAUUGGAAGUGUCCAUGUUUGGCUUGGUAGUCAGGUCUCUUUAGGUGGUUCUUGUGUCCCUAUUUAUUAUUUUAACCUUUUUACUAUAUGUUAACAACUUGGGACAUAAGGCAAAAGUUCACCCAUUGGAUCAUUGGUUGUGUUUCUUAUUAGGUCUUUACUGGAUUUGUGCCGCCAGUGCCAUCUCAUGAAAGAAACAUACUGCUGGUUUGAGCUUUUCUCAUAUAUUUGAAUGAUUGUAAAUGAGUAACGCUUAUUGAUCAUUACUUUCUCUGUUGUCAUUAUUGCAGUCCAUGGGAACGUGAAUUUUGUCCAAAUUAUAGAGGACUGGAAUGUCUCAAGCAAAACUUUCCAUAUGACCCUGUGAUGGCCUUAACUGCCACUGCCACCUGUUCGUGAGGUAUGAAACUUGCACAUUAACCUCCAGAUUUUGCUGAAAUAAUCAUUUGGGAAUGAUUGACAUCCUAAAAGCUUUCAGGAUCUGUCACGCCCCAAUCCUUGGGCACGCACACAUCCUUCAUCUUGGUCGAUUUUAUAAUGCGAUAUCCCAGGACAAUGUAUCGCCGACCCUUUUAAUUUUUAAGCACAUGCGGAAGCAGUUAAAAUCCCCAGACAAUAAAACGAUGGGAUAGAAAAGCAGGGCCAUAUUUUUCAUAUUGAAAUUUAUAACCAAACUUUUAUACAAACCACAAACCCUUCAUAACUAUUCACAUCAAAACGGAGAUCUCAAAAGAAGACAGAAACUUAGAUGAACUAGGCCGUACUCAAGGCCCCUCUCAGAAUUGUCUUCUUCUUCCAAAAAAUCCUUUUCUUCAGAUCUCACCUCCGAGUUCUCCUUCUCGGAUUCCUCCUCCACAGCUCUUCAGCGGGGUCCUGAAAUGGUUUUCCCCAAACUGGGAUGAGACUACGUCUCAGCGAGUUCUACCCCACUAAGCCCGAUUAGUAAACUAUUAUACUAAAGGCUGCCUAAACACGCACAGGGCAGAGGACUUACCUUGGCCUCAGAUCUUACCUGCAAGUCAGUACAAUUCACAAUAGGCACCCAUUUACUCAAAACAAAUCGAACCAGUCGAUUACAUGUCAUACAAUUCAAUCCCCACCGUGGGAUAUUUAAAAGCUAGGCCACGUGCAUUCUCCAGGACGACCUUCCAAGUCUCCGAGCCACGUGCCUCAAACCUCGGACCCACGUGCAUUCUCUAAGGCGACCUCUUCGCCAAGGUGGUACAUCAAGCCACCGAGCCACGUGUCCUUUUUACGAUGCCCGGGCCCACGUGCAUUCUCUAAGGUACUCGCUUACCAAAGUGACGCAUCAGAUCACCGAGCCACGUGCCCUUUUAGAUGCCAUUCCGAAUACUGGACCCACGUGCAUUCUCUAAGGUACUCGCUUACCAAAGUGACGCAUCAGAUCACCGAGCCACGUGUCCUUUUAGAUGCCUGGGCCCACGUGCAUUCUCUAAGGUACUCACUUACCAAAGUGACGCAUCAGAUCACCGAGCCACGUGCCCUUUUAGAUGCCAAACUCUGUCACCGAGCCACGUGCAUUCUCCAGGACGACAUACCAAGUCUCCGAGCCACGUGCAUUCUCUCAGGCGACCUCUUCGCCAAGGUGACAUAUUCAACCACUGAACUCACGUGCAUUUUCCAGGUGACAUUCCAAUUCACCGAGCCCACGUGUCCUCUUUCAAGCGGUUACCAAUCUUCUUUCAACACCGACAACCAAUGCCCAACGAUUUCUCAAUCAAAUAAUUAAAUCAAGUCAACAAAGCAUUAUAAAUGCUGAAUAACAUACUUGGCCAAUCACCAAUCAAUAAUUCAAUCUCAAUCGAUUCCAAUCAAUUUAGGGUAAAUCCCUAAAAUAUCACAAUUUAUUCAAUUCCAUACAACGUAGAGCUCAAAUAAAUAAACGGACUGCGCCACGACAAUCAGCACGAGAUUUCGGUCGUCGGCCAUCAACAUCUUAAUUUUUGAAAAAUAAUUAAUUUCGAAAAAUUAAAUAAUUAAUAUUAAAAAUUCAAUUUAGCUCAAAAUAAAGCCCGAUUAAAUAAACGGACUUCACCACGGUCAUCAGCAUAAUAUUCCGGUCCCGGGCCAUCUCAGUUGAAUUUUCGGAAAAUAAAUAAUUAUUUAAUUUAAUUCCGAAAAUUAAUAAUUAAAUACUAAAAAUAUCCACUUAGGCCCGAAAAGCCUAAUUGGAGCCCACUAAGGGUUGGGAAAAUUCCCGAAGCACUUCCAAUAAUUAGUAGACCACGUCUACUUGCUAAUUGCGCAAUCAAUUUAUCUAAAUCGCAUCACAAUUCACUAAUAAUUGCUAAUUUAUUCUAAUCUAACAACCUAAACAUAAUUAAUUAAAUCUAAACCAACCUUAAGCAUAAUUAGCCAACUAAUCCUGGAUUAGUGAGAUUACUCACCAAAUCGCAUCACAAAUCGGAUCAAUCCGACGGCGGCGACGCGAGGAACGAUUGUUCCCAAAGCACGGCUCGGGUUCGGGGCCCGGAAACGGCCCAAAACGGCCCAAGAGCCGGCUGAAAACCCACUUCGUGGGUUGCUGGAUUAGCUGCGAAACAGAGGAAAACAGAGAUGGUUAGAGGCGGAGAGGGGUGGGGAAAGCAAGAGGCGGUCCGGUGAGGCCACACGGCGGCUCCGGCGGCUUGCUCGGCCACUCACGGUGGCUGGACGAGACGGAACAGUGGCUGGUUCGUGCGGAGGGAGGAGCGGCCGCGAGCGACGGACGGCGGGACGGCGGCGGCGCACAGCCGCGGCCGCGGGUGCGGGCGCCGGUGCGGCCGGCGGGACAGCGACGGAGCUGCAACUUCUGGUCUUCUUCCGCUUCUGGUUUCCCGCGAAGAAGAAAGAAGAAAGAAGGAGAAGAAAGGAGCCGGUUCUGACGUGCAGGGGAAAAAAGAAGAGAGAGAGAGAAGGGAUAAGCAUUGACCGGUCAAAAGGGAAGAGAGAGGGAAUAGGCGGUCGGGAAGGGUUUCGCACGAGGGGGAGGGGAGAGAGAGAGAGAGAGAAAAAGAGAAAAGGGAAAGGGAAAGAAAAUAAUACUUUAAUAAGAAAACCCAAUUUUCUUAUUUCUAGUAUUUUCCUUUUUUUCAUUCCCUUUUUAUUUUCUUUCAGGUCUUCGAUUUUUCCUCCGAUAAUUUCUUUCUUGAAAUUUCGGACUCGGCAAUAAAUUGAUAGACGAUGAGACGGUCCUAAAAAUGAAUUGUGACACGUCUGAAUAUUCGAUUCCCGAAACCAAAUCAAAUUCCAUGGUUAAAAUCGACCGGACGUGAUUUUAGUCCAAUCCAACCAAUUAGGUAGCUUUUAGGGAUUUUACCAUGGAUAUAUCCCUUAAUAGCUUCACCCAAUAGGUUAGUUAACUCGUGAGUGAUCAGCUCAAAGAAAAAGGACCAUAGGCACGUCGACGAAAUGCACAUUUCAUUUUAUCGAAACGGGGUCAAAUUUCAGGAUGUCACAGGAUCCCCCAUGCUCUUGUUCUUGAGACAGAUUUGAUAGACCAAAUCUAAUGUCUGAGGUCAUAGCUAAGACCAAAGAACCAAUGAAGCAGCUUGGAGAGCUGUUAAAGAAUCAUUUUGCUAAUUUUUGUGGGAUAGUAUUUUGCCUCUCAAAGAGUAAAUGUGUUGAUGUUACCAAAUACUGAAUGAUACGUGCAGUAUAAAGACGGUGUACUAUCAUGCUGGAUUACCAGCCCAUCAAAGAGUAGCUGUUCAAAAGAAAUAACAUACUGGAGAGGUCCAGGUUGUAUGUGCUACCGUUGUUUUUGGCAUGGGAAUAGACAAACCUGAUGUUGUAAGUUGAAAUGGACUUUGCGCCUUUGUCUAUUUUUAGUUUUAGAAUCAAACUGACACGUUGGCAAAUACUCAAUUAAUCCACUUUUCUUCAAAUGUUUAAGUAUCACUAAUUGGUUUCUUAGUGUGCUUUGAAGUAAACUUUGUUAGUUCUAUGGUCCAGUGGCCUGCUAAAUUAUCAUUCUUGGCUAUUUUUCGAGCCGAAUUCUUUCUUCCAAGCACCAAAAUUAAGUUAAACUAGGAUAAAGUUCUUUUCUUUACUGUAAAAGUGGCAAAUGACUCUGAUCUAACUUGACCUUCAGUUAUAAUGUUUUAGUCAUAUUUUAACAUUUUUUUUAAUUUGGUUCAGUAAUUAUAUUUUAUGGCAUGUCAUCAGCAUUUUGUCAUCCACAACACAAUGUCAAAGUCAAUCGAAAGCUAUUACCAAGAAUCAGGGAGGGCAGGAAGAGAUCUACCAGCAAUUUUUCCACUCGACUUCUGGCCAGACAAUCUUUAGAAUCCAUGGUAUGCUUUAACCAUGGACAUAGCCAAUAUAUGCCAAACCACUUAAAUCCCUGUCACUGUUCUGUUCUCAUAUAAUUUAUUCUAUGCUUGAUCAUUUCCAAUUUGCUUGUGAUUCUGCACACAGCAAAGGACCUACACAAUGUACAUGUCCAAAAGCAUUUAGUAAAUUGCUUAGGGGGCUUCUCAUCCAAUCAAACGUCCAAUAGACAGUCUUUAACUUUGGCCAAUUUCUUUCACACUCUUCAAGAUCCAAAAUGACAUACUAGAACUCUUUGGUCAAUAAAGCAGUUGAUUUAAGCUUUGGAUGAUGUGCAAAUACCUAUAUUUCUCAAAUACUUUGAGAGUACAGCAAAUCAUCAAAGUGUGGAUUAGCAAUCCAGCAUCUUUGAUAGGAGUGUUUUGCGUAAAUGAAGGCUUGUGAUUUAUGCGGAGUGUUUGGACUGUCAAAUUAUUAAUCUUUGCCUGCCUUUUCAGAAAGAUAAACCAUUGUGCAAGCUACUGUAUGUAACUGCUGAAAGGAUUGUGGGAAACCCAUCAUUUCUUGAGAUAUUGUAAUGCUUGCAUAGAAAGGGAUUGUUUCUGAUGCACCAUAACUUUUUCUGAAAGGUUCUUUGUAAAUUUAUUAUAUUCAACCAUCAUGCAUUGCAGGCACAGCUAGCUGGUUUUGUUAUUGAUGAGGCACAUUAUGUGAUGAAUAUGUAAUAUUUGGCAUGCCUUGUACAUGAAGAAAGAUCAUGCUAGAGUUACUUCAAGAGGAAUAAUUAUUUGUGAUGUUGCCUCUGGAAAAAUGUUGUCCUUGUUCCUGAUAAAUAUAAGCAAGUUAACUUUUAUAUAUGCUAACUUAAACUCUUUUUCCAAACUUUUCUGCAUUUUCUGGGUUUCUAGCCUAAUUAAAUUGUCAGUGUUACUCUAGACCCUCCAAAGCCCAGAACCCUAUUAAGUUCUAAUAUAACCAAAUGCAGUGUUCCUUGUUUGAUGAAAAGAUUUAGGUUCCGUCAUUUGGGAACACUUAGCGGCACAUCGUAUAUUAUAUUGAGUAAAGAGGACACAAUUUAAUAAAACUCCAAUGGAAAGUACUCCUAGAGUAAUUGGAUCCAGCAUAAGCUUGGAUAAGAUCCAAUCUCCUCUUUAUGUUUGGCAGGACACUCAGUCUCUGAGUGGUUCUUGUAUCCCUAUUUNNNNNNNNNNNNNNNNNNNNNNNNNNNNNNNNNNNNNNNNNNNNNNNNNNNNNNNNNNNNNNNNNNNNNNNNNNNNNNNNNNNNNNNNNNNNNNNNNNNNNNNNNNNNNNNNNNNNNNNNNNNNNNNNNNNNNNNNNNNNNNNNNNNNNNNNNNNNNNNNNNNNNNNNNNNNNNNNNNNNNNNNNNNNNNNNNNNNNNNNNNNNNNNNNNNNNNNNNNNNNNNNNNNNNNNNNNNNNNNNNNNNNNNNNNNNNNNNNNNNNNNNNNNNNNNNNNNNNNNNNNNNNNNNNNNNNNNNNNNNNNNNNNNNNNNNNNNNNNNNNNNNNNNNNNNNNNNNNNNNNNNNNNNNNNNNNNNNNNNNNNNNNNNNNNNNNNNNNNNNNNNNNNNNNNNNNNNNNNNNNNNNNNNNNNNNNNNNNNNNNNNNNNNNNNNNNNNNAUGCUCUUGUUCUUGAGACAAGCUUUGACAGACUAAAUCUAAAAUAUGAGGUAAUAGCCAAGACCAAGGAACCACUGAAGCAGCUCGGAUAGCUGCUAAAGAAUCGUUUUGCUAAUUUGUGUGGCAUAGUAUAUUGCCUUUCAAAGAGUGAAUGCGUUGAUGUCGCAAAAUACUUGAAUAAGAAGUGAUGUAUAAAGACAGUGUACUAUCAUGUUAGAUUAGUAGCCCGCCAAAGGGUAGCUGUUCAAAAGAAAUGGCAAACUGAAGAGGUCCAAAUUGUAUGUUAUAAAAAGAAAUGGCAUACUAUCAUUCUUGUGUUAUUGACUAGCUAUAUUAUAAAUUAUAUAAUCAAUACAUUGACUUUACUAGCAACUUUUCUCAUGUUAUAUAUAAUCAGUAUGCUCAAAAUUAGAUUAUUUCAUGUUUAAUAUAUUUAACUAAUGUUUUGACUUGUUAGUGCGGCCCGCAUUACGUAUGAUUUAGUGCUUGAAUAUGCAAACUUGGCUUAACAAGUUAGUUAAAGUUUUGGUAAACAACGACCAAAUUUGAAUAUAUGAUUAUCUUGUGGGUAGCUUUUAACUACUAAAGUUCCACUGUUGUAAUGUAGUAUGAUGAAGAGGAACAUUUGAGAGUACUGGCCCCAAAGAAAAUGGUUCUAUUGAAACUUGAAAGCAUGACCAAUGACUACAAUUUGGUGUAGUAGAGUCCAAGUACUAACCAAGUAGAUGACCGUUCAAUGGUUUAGUCCAAAUUUGGCGUAGUAGAGUCCAAGUACUAACCAACUAGACGACCGUUCAACGGCUUGGUCCAAACCAAAUGGAUAUAAAUUUCGGGAAGAUUUAACAUUUUCUUUAUCAGUCAACUAUAGCCAACACCAAAGAAAAUUUGGUUUCAAGUAUGAUUAUGUAUGGCUGUGUCUACACUGCUUUAUAGGCUCAUGCUUAAAGGAAUCAAGUUUGAGAUUAUACUAUCAAAGUGAUUGCAAAAUGCCAAUACGUGAACUUCCCAAAAUCCAAGAGCUGAUUGUACACUAACGAACACUUUUAUGUUGCGCUCAAAAUUCUUCCGAGUGAAAAACUACUGUCUUUUGGGAACCUUUUUACUGAAAAUCUUGCCUGCAAUUGACAGAUUAUUUGCUGAUUCCAUGAUAUUCACUUUUUACAUUAAAGAAGUCUCUCACAUUCACAAAAUUGUAGCUAGAAGUGGACAUCUAAAACGGUAAUCUUGUUGACAAACAUGACUUUAUGCUUAACUUCACAUCCAAAACCACCUGUACAUGCAGUCUUCCUGCAAGCAUUUUGAAAUUCUACCUUUGCUAAAUAAUAGCAUGAUGUCAAAGUUUGCAAAGGACUACUUCACCGCAUUAGAAGAGGUCCCUUUAUAUCAAGAAUCCUAUCAAGAUUAUCAGCAUAGAGCACAUUAUAAACACCUUUAGCGAAGAACUUCGGAACACCUUUCCAUAACGUCUCAUGACAUAUCUCAUUUCGGUCCACAUCUCUGUCCUGUGAUGCUCGGGAAUGUUCUCUGAAUUUUAUGAAAUGCAACUUGAAUCUACACAAGAAGGAUUAUUUACUAAUUAUCAAUAAAUGGGGAUAUUUGAGAUCGGAGCAUCACAAUUUACAUCAUGAAAGAUAAGGUACAAAUGCACAAACAUCAUUUGCACCAAUUGCAGUUGGACCGUAAUGAACAGAGACUUCAUGAGCUGGCCGAUGAAAACGUAAACAACAGGCUUGGAAGAAGUAGCAAUUAGCAACACUUUCCCUGUUUGUGUUUAGGAACAUAAUUGAUGUCAAUAAAAAUAUGCUGAAAGGUGAAGUGCUUAAACUACAUAAUAGAAAGAUAAAUUUAUUAUUUGGUUAUUCUGCAAUAUCCUGUUAGCAAAAUCAGCAAAACAGGAUAGUUUGCUAGGAGGUGAAUUUUAACUUUACAAAGUCAACGUCGCAUGAGAACUGACCUUAUCAAAUUAAAAAAGUCAGAAACCUAUAUGACAACAUUCAAAGGAUAGUAUCACAUUGAUGAACUGAUAGAAAUGAAGGAGAUUGUCCUCAUGCAUACUUGCAUACUUUUCAGGUGCAAUUCCAUAGCUCAUAUAGUAUGAGCAAACAAGUUAUUUUUCCAAUGUUAUGGUACGACUAGUAGUGCAUACCUCCCUUUGCAGAGCCUUAUCAAGUUCCAGAAUGAUAACAUUAGAAUGCAACAGCAUUAAACAAACAUUUCUGCAUCAGGGUGACAUACAAAAAAAUCAGCAGCUACGUAUUGGAUUAACAGAGAGGUUGAACCUCAUGAACAUACAAAAAGCAGAUUCAACUCAAAAUACAACAUCAAAAUCAUUUGAGUAUGUGCUGUCGAGACCAGAUAAAGUGUACUAGAUCCUCACAAGCAUACAAAAUUCCCCAAGUAACAUAGAGAAUCUCAAGCGAAGACAAGUCACCGAUUUCACUUGGAAUUGCUCUUUUAGACAACAGCGUGAUGGGAAACUUAUAGUGCACCAAUUUUUCAACCUUCCUAUAGCACUAGGAAGCUUUUCAAUACCAGAACCACUAAUGUCUAAAUGUUGCAAAUUCUGUAAAUUUCAAGUUGAGCUACUGAUAUCAGUGAGCGACUCACAACAGCUCGCACUCGGUUUCUCCAGCUUCCUCAGAGAACUGAUAGACGUAGGAAUCUCAGUAAUAUCAGCAAAAUCUAAUAUAAGUUCUAAUUUGACAGAUUCACCUCCUUUCAGUUCUCACAUACCCAUCCGCUCUUGGUCCAGUCCGUUGCCACAUUCUUCUUCCAAGAUCCCAAAUCUCCUGUGGAUCCUAAGAUUGCCACACUCUCCCCAAUUUCAACUUGACGAUCCAGCCGAACGCUGAGAUGCACCUUUUCCCGUCCCAGCAAUGAUCUGAUCUUCUUUGCUUUCUUCUCCUCUUCUCUGCAAUGAACACAUUAUUUCAUAGCUUCUACCAAUAGCCUCCUUCCUUGUCUAAACAACUUAAACAACAAUUUUCACUUGAACCACCGAUUCAUUGUUUGUCAUUUAACACCACAUUCAAAGAGAAACCUCAAAUCAAGACGGUGUCAGAUAAUCCGUGCCGCUAGCUUUUAUUGCAACAAGAACUCGAAAGAAAAACAGAAUAACUCUUUUUUCCGCACCAAUUCUUGUUCAAGUAAUAAACCCCACAUAAACUCCAUCCACACUAGAGACUCAGAGAAACCUUUGAUCGAGAAUUCCAUAAAACAACUCAAUACCUCACUCCAAACCCCAGUGCUUGAUCAGACUGACAUAAGUGCACUGGAACAAAUCCAGAGAGAGAGAGAGAGAGAGAGACCUGGUUUUAGUGGUGAAAACACCGCGAACAACCAUGAAGGAGCGACUCUGAGCUGCAUGAGCUCCAUGCAUCCACAUGAGAGAAUCUUGAAGGGGAGAAGUAAUGCUGCUCUUCAAGAAAAAACUGGUCUCUUUACUUGGUUUUAGGUAUGAAAAUGCACAUGGCUGUGUCUCUUUUGCUUUUAUAUUUAUGCUUAAAUAAAUCAAGUUUGAGGUUAUAUGACCAAAAUGAUCGGAAGAUGCCUACAUAUGAAUUUCCGAUGUAACCAGACCAAAUGAAUGAUUUUAGAAUGCCAUUAUUUUGGGUUCAAAAUUCUUCCAAAUGAGAAACUACCGUCUUCUUGGAAACCUUUUCAUUGAAACUCUUGGCUGCAGUUGACAGAUUAUUUUUUGAUUCCACGGCAUUUGCUUUUUCCACGAAAAAAGUCUCUCCCAGUCACAAAACUGUAGCUUGAAGUGGACAUCUAAAUGGUAAUCUUGUUAACAAAUCUCAUUUUAUGCUUGACUUCACAUAUAAAACCACCUGCACAUGCAGUCUUCCUCCAAGUGAUUUGUGAUGCAGCCUUUGCUAAAGAAUAGCACGAUUUCAACCUUGCAAAGGACUAAUACACCACAUGAGAAGAGGUCGCCUUAUAUCAAGAACCUUUGAAGAGUAUUAACAACAUGGAGCAAAUGACAAAUGCCAAUGGCAAAGAACUUCAAAAUGCCUUUCUAUACUGACAUAGCUCAUUCUUGCCCUUAUCUAAACCCCGUGGUGUUUGGGGACUUCCUCCGAAUUUCAUCAAAUGCAGCUUUAAUCUGCACAAGGAAGAUAGCACUGAGUAAUUAUCAAUAAAUGAAGAUGUCCAAGAUCGUAGCAUCAGAAUUUACCUCAUGAGAGAUUAAGGUACAAAUGCAUAAACAUCGACACCAAUCAAAGUUGGACCACAAUGAAAGGUAACUUCAUUAGCUGGCCAAUGAAAAAGAAACCAACAAGCUUAAAAGAAGUAAGCAAUUAGCAACACUUUCCCAGUUUGUGUUUAGGAACAGAAUUGAAAUUAAUAAAAUUAUGCUGAAAAGGUGAAGUGCCUAAACUACAUAACAGAAAGAUGCAUUUCCUACUUGGUUAUUUUGCAAGAUCCAAUUAGCAAAAUUAGCAAUACUGAUCGUUUGCAAAGAGGUCAAUUUCAACUUUACAAAUCCAAUGCCACAUACAUGAGAAUUGAGCUUGUCAAACCUAUAUAAUAACAUUCAGAGGAUAUCAUCACACAAAUAAACUGAUAGAAAUGGAGGAGCCUAGCAAUGCAUACCUCCCUCUGCAUAGCAUCAUCAAUUCCAGAGUGAUAUCAUUAGACUGCAACCGCAUCAAACAACUCUGCAUCAGGGUAAGAUACAAAAACUCAUCAACUUAGUGUUUGAUUAAAGGAGAGCUAGAACCUAAUGAGCAUACAUAAAGCAUAUUUAAUUGAAAAAAAAUACAUGUACAAUCAUUUAGGGAUGUGACAUUGAGAUCAGAUCAAGUGUUUUGGAUCUUCAUGAGUAUCAAAACUUCCUUAGGACACUCCAGUCGGCCCCAAAGCCUCUUCAAGUUUGGCACGCAAGAUGGUCCUCAGCUGUUGCUGAUGCUUCCUCUGCAAAAUCCCUUUUCUUUAUUUUGAUCAAUCUCAAGUAUGGAAUUUGAAGUUCCUCAGCCAAGUGAGCCACACCCAAAUCAGUCAUGUAAUAAAGCAAUUCCAUGGCAAUAAUAGGAUCAAAUGGUAUGCAAACUAAUUAGCAAAUUCUUGAGCUCCUCAUCCUAGCUUGUUUCACGACGGGCAAAACAUUGUUCAUUAAUGCAAAAGUCAUCGAUACAGUUAAUCGAACUGAAGUCCCAAAGUAAGCCUUGAUCAUUACACAGACCAACCAAACCUGUCAUGGAAGCAGAACCAAUUUACCUUGCUUAAUAAUAUUCAAAACCAUAGUUUGACUACUAGUAAUGUUAAGGUGGCGUACAUUCAUAUAUGACAGACUAGCCAAAACUACUUUAACAUUUUUUUUUAUCACAAACCAAAAACACUUGAUAUGUUUUAUUUUAGCUCACUUCAUCAUACUUAAUGGGAAUCGAUGCUAUUCUUAGAAGGUUCAAGAGGAACAUCAAGGGAACAAUAAGAAACUUGACAGGGUUUCUGUUCAUUGCGGAAAACCAAUAUGUUUGUCUCAAACAGGACAUUUGCCAUUAGUCAAAUUUCACACAAAAGAACUCACAAAGUAACUCAAAAUGGCCAAGGAUUUUUUCAAAGAAAGUAUUAAUUAUGGACAGGGAAAUUCUGGGUGUAGUUUAAAAUAUUGAGUAGCAGAAGUUCAUCAGCCUCGAUUUGAAAAUUUCAAAUCCCAGGUUUACUUAUGGAGGAACUGUUAAAUCACUAGAGAAUUCUUGUUUACCUUUGCUUGAUAUUUUCAUCCUUGCCUCGCAAGCUGCUAAUCUGUUUGUAGUCUGCAGAAGCUGCCAAUGGAAGGAUAAACGAAAAUAUUGCUACAUCGUAACCGACAGCAAUAUGUGUAGGCAAAUUUGGAGUUUCCAAAAUCAAUCAAAUAGAUACCCAGCACAGAGCAAAUCAUUCUGAAAGAAAUUAAAAUAAAACUUUAAGAAAACUAUUACUCUAUUUGCUCACGCUGGCUAUUCAAGGAUGGAGAAUCUUACUAUGCCUUCUAUUGACAUUUGGGUCUAUAUUUUGAUCUUGGCUGAAGCAUCAUGUAUGACCAACUCCCCCAUUCCUUCAAUUAUGACAGAACCCUGUCAUGGAAGACCUUCUUGUCAAAAGAAGAUGGGGAUGAAAAGUAGGCCAUGAAUCUUAGAAGAAAAAUGAUUGUUAACUGCUUAUUUACCUCUGUUGAGGAAACAUCACUCCAAAAGUCAAAAGACAGCUCUCGCUCAUAAUUUCUAAAGACACGCAUCUCAGUAUUGCUUCCAAUGAGUCACAAUCAGAAAUAUCCAAAUCAAUUAAAUCCAACUUUUCAAGUCCCCAAAGCUAAGGAGGUUUCUUGCUGUCUCAAACUCUUAGAGAUCCUAACUUCUCACAUCCCAUCAAAUCUGGAAAGUCUCUAUUGAUUUGCAUCCUGUAAAAUCCAAGUCUUCUAAGAACUUCGCACCAUCAAGACCUUGAAUUUCGACUAUAUUGUCGCACCCGACAGCCACUAAUUUCUUCAGAGACCGUGAUUCUGGACAGAGAAGCCUUUUAAUGGAAUUGCAAUCAUAUAUAAAUAUGACCUCCAAGAAUGCCAAAUUAUCAUGCCCUGAAUUUCAACUAGGCUAUUGCAAUGCUCAGCAUGCAAUCAUUUCAGACGAAUCAAUUGUGAAAGGUUCAAUCUUUCAAUGGAACUACAUUUUUCUAUGGAAAAUCUCGAGGGAAGGCAACUCACCAAUUUCACUUUUCAGACAACAGCACAAUGAGAUACGUAGAGUCUGCAGAUUUUUCAGCCUUCCAAUCGCAUUGGGAAGCUUUUCGAUCGCAAAAAAACUCAAAUGAAGAUGUUGCAAAUUCUGUAAAUGCCCAAUUGAGCUAGGGAUUUCUCUCAGAGACUCACAACCAUAAGCGCUCGAUUUCUUCAACUUCCUCAGAGAACCAAUAGACGUGUUCAUGGUCAUCAAGAGAGAAAAAAAAUCCUUCCCAUCCGAGAAAGGGGAGAGGUUGAGAGAGAGAUAGAGAGAGAGAGAGAGGGGGGGGGGGAGAGAGAGAGAGAGAGAUUGAGGACACGGAUGGACCCGUGGUCGCCGAGCUACCAGUCCCAUGGAGUUGGCCAGAGUCUAGAGAUCAUGACGAUUCAAACUCUUAACCAAAACCAGAUGUACUUAGCCAAAUCCCGGCCUCGCAUGCUCGAACACGCUUCACCCCCGCACAGACUAGACAACGUGAAGGAGUCGGCGAUAAAAGCAUCGUGGUGGAAUGAUCCAGAGAAGAAGAGGAAGAGGAGGGUGGCCAGAUACAAGCUUUAUUCGGUCGAAGGCAAGUUCAAGGCUUCUUUCAAAUAAGGGUUCCGAUGGUUGAAGCGCAAAUGCUCGACCUUCGCACGUCGAUUCUAAUUAGCAUAAAUUAAGGAAUACCGUGUCCAUCGUCAUCAAGAGAGAAAAAUGGUGAGAAAGAGGAAACAGAGAGAUUUGCUGUGCUAUUUGGGUGUUCAUCUUUAUAUGUAUCUAAUGGUGAUCAAAUAUUCAGAAGGGUGCCGCUAAUGUUCAAUCUUUCUGAUAUAAUGUUCAUCUGACUCAUUGUUUCAUUCAUCGAUCUCCAACAUUCAAAACAUAGGCAAAUGAGACAACUCGUACGUGAUAGUAAUAUAUAUUUAUAUUUGCCAAUUUUUCUUUUUCUUUUCUGAAUUUUCUUACCUUCUAAUACAUUUGUAACAGGAUUUUGCAUCCAUGCCCAUGCAAAUUAGAAUUGUCUGAUUUGUUCAAUUCUCCUCUUUUCUGUAAGCUCUUUUCCUUAUAAAUGUGAUGCUGAUUGCAAAACCAGAUGGAUACUUGUAUUUGUAGGAUUGACAUUACCAUCUAUUUUGUGGUCGAUUUUGUUGGGUACGAUUUUGUUUUGGCCGAAUGUUGUCUACGCCUUGUUUCUGGGGUUCUUUAACCCCCCCUAAUUUCCUCAAUUUGUCUAGUUCGAUUCCUCUUCGUUGUACAAUUCAUCAUAUGGCAACAUAUAUUGCUGUAGUAGAUAUUCUAAAAUGACAUGCACCGGUGCUAAACAAAACGAAAGGCUUUCGAUGGUUCCAUUUUGAUUUGAGGACAAUUUUUCAUAUUUCGAAUGCCGUCCCAUUGAGACUGGAGUUACGAAAAUGUGGAAAACUGAAAAGCCCAAAGGGAACCCUCUUUAAUUCUAUCAAAACUUGCGUAGUUAAUGUUCAAAUGGUCGUAAUUUAUAGGAUCUUGAUGUAAUAUGUGAUAUAACUUUCAAAAACAAGGUGAAAACGAAGGAGAAGGAGAGUAUGAAAACCCAUGAGCAGAACCGAACUGAUUCACCAGGUUUAACACCUUCAUCCAGUUAUCCAGUCGAUUCACAGUUUUCAAAUUUUAAAUCAAUUCAGCCGAUAAGGUUGUGACUAAAAUCCUAAAAGUAGUCAAAACACAUAGCCAUUGCCCUUUAGAAUAAUGGCUUAGACAAUGGUUAAGCAACUUAGCAAAUAAACUGUAGACUCAACACAUCGACUUUACUUGUGAUUUUUCUUGUGAAAUGUUCAAUCGAUAUUCUGAAAUUUAAUUAUUUCACAUUAAGUAUGUUUAACAAGUAUUUCAACACGACCCACACUAUAUUUGUGUUAAUAAUUAUAGAUUCGAACUUGGCUUAAAAAGCUACCUGGCCUUACAAGCUACUUGGCCUUGUAUUGAGCUCCGGAAAUAUUGAGUUUCAGUUCAAGUAGACAAGCAGCGAAUCAGACAGAGUACCUUGCCAGUAGCUUUCAGCCUUUCGACUACUAAAAUUCCACCAUUGUCAUCUAGUACAAGGGUACAGGAGUAUCAAAGAGUGACCUCAAAGAAAUUGCUUCGAUUGAGGCUUCAAUGCGUGACUGGUUAACACAAUUUGGUUUAGUAGAGUCUGAUUAUUAACCAAUAAGAUGACCCUUUUAAAGUUUUUUGUUCAAACCAAAUGAGUAAAUUUUGGGAAUGGCCUUUUCACCCUUCCAAAAAUUUCCCACAUUUUUCAAUAGUCUUCAAUCAUAGCCUACGCCAGAGAAAAAUAGGUUUCAGAUAUGAAAAUGUACAUGGAUGUGGCUCUUCUGCUUUUAGAUUCAUGCUUAAAUAAAUCAAGCUUGAGAUUAUACGAUCAAAACGAUUGCAAAAUGCCUACAUAUGAUUUUUCAAUGUAACCAGACUAGGAAGAUGAUUUUACACUGAUGAGUGCUUUAUUUCGUGUUCAAAAUUCUUUCAAAUGAGAAAACUACUGUCUUCUUGGAAACAUUAUCGUUGAAACUCUUAACUGCAAUUGACAAAUUAUUUGCUAAUUCCAUGGCAUUCGCUUUUUCCACAAAAAGAAUCUCUCCGCCACAAAAUUAUAGCUUGAAGUGGACAUCUAACUGGUAAUCUUGUUAGCAAAACUCAUUUUAUGCUUAACCUGCAAAUGCAUUCUUCCAGCAAGCAAUUUGUGAUUCGGCCUUCGCUAAAGGAUAGCACGAUGUCAAAGCUCGCCAAGGCCUAAUGCACCAUAUGAGAAGAGGUCACCUCACAUCCAGAAUCCUUUGAAGAGUACUAACAACACAAACACCAACAGGAUAGAACUUCGGGAUGACUUUCCAUAAUGACAAAGCUCAUUCCUGCUCGCAUCUCCAUCCCAUGGUAUUUGGGGACUUUCUCCGAGUUAAAUAAAUUGCAGCUUGAAUCUACACAAGACGAAUAGCACUGACUAUAAUCAUCAGUAAUGAAAAAAACCAAGAUAUGUAGCAUCACAAUUUACCCCAUCAAAGAUAAGGUACAAAUGCAUAAACAUCAUUUCCACCAGUUGGACCACAAUGACAGACGCUUCAUUAGCUGGCUGAUGAAAUAGAAAACAACAGACUUGGAGAAGUAAGCAAUUAGCAAUACUUCCCUUGUUUGAGUUUAGGAACAGAAUUGAUGCUAACGGAAUGAUGCUGAAAAGGUGUGAGUGCCUAAACUACAUAACAGAGAGAUGUAUCUGUUACUUGGGUAUUUCACAAUAUCCUAUUAACAAAAUCAGCAAUACCGGAUAGUUUGCAAGGAGGUCAAUUUCAACUUUACAAUUCCAAUGCCGCAUACACAUGAGAGAUGAGCCUAUCAAAUCAAAAACCUACAUGAGAAUAUUUACGAGAUAUUAUCACACUAAUAAACUGAUAGAAAUGAAGGAGAUUGUCAUCAUGCAUACUUGCGUACUAAUUUCAGGUGAAAUUACAUAGCUCAUAUAUUCUAAGCACACAAGUAAGUCUUUCAUAGUACAACUAACACUGCAUAUCUCUCCCUUCAGAGCCUCAGCGAGUUGAGGAGUGAUAUAUUUAGAAUGCAACUUUAUCAAACAACUCUGCAACAGGGUAACAUACAAAAAGUCAGCAGCUACGUGUUUGAUUAACGGAGAGAUAGAACCUAAUGAGCAUACAAAAAGCAUAUUUAAUUGAAAAAUAUACAUUUACAAUCGUUCAGGUAAGUACUGUUGACAUGAUCAAGUGUUCGGAUAUUCACAAGCAUCAAAACUUCCUCAGGACACUCCAGUUGGCCCCAGAGCGUCUUCAAGGUUGGCACAGAAAAUGGUCCUCAGCUGUUGUUAUGGAAUUGAAGUUCCUCAGCCAAGUUAGAACUAGUAAUCAUGUUAACAAAUCUCAUUUUAUGCUUCAAUUCACAUAUAGAACCUCACAUGCAGUCUUCCUGAAAGUGAUUUGUCAUUCAGCCUUUGCCAAAGGAGAGGACAAUUGCAAAGGUUGCACAGGACUAAAACACCACAUGAGAAGAGGUCGCUUUAUAUCAAGAAUCCUUUGAAGAGUAUUAACAACACGGAACACAUGAUAAACGCCAUUAGCAAGGAACUUCAAGAUGCAUUUCCAUAAUGACAUAGCUCAUUCCUGCAGUAUUUUGGGACUUUCUCCGGGUUUCAUGGAAUGCAGCUUCAAUCUACACACGGAAGAUAGCACUGACUAAUUAUCAAUAAAUGAAGAUAUCCAAGAUCCUAGCAUCACAAUUUACACCAUGAGAGAUAAGGUACAGUUGCAUAAACAUCAUUGACACCAAUUGCAGUUGGACGACAAUGAACAGAGACUUCAUUAGCUGGCUGAUGGAAAAGAAACCAACAGGCUCAAAAGAAGUAAGCAAUUAACAACACUUUCCCUGUUUGUGUUAGGAACAGAAUUGAAGUUAAUAAAAUUAUGUUGAAAAGGUGAAGUGCCUAAACUAUAGAACAGAAAGAUGUAUUUGCUACUUGGUUAUUUUGCAAGAUCCAAUUAGCAAAAUCAGCAAUACAUGAUUGCUUGUGAGGAGGUCAAUUUCAUCAUGCAUACUUUUGGCCUAAUUUCAAGUGAAAUUCCACAGCUCAUAGAGUAUCGGCACACAAGUUAGUCUUUCAUGGUACAACUAGCAGUGCAUACUUCCCCCUUCAGAGCCUCGUCAAGUUCAGGAGUGAUAUCAUUAGAAUGCAACUGUAUCAAGCAACUCUGCAUCAGGGUAACAUAUAAAAAGUCAAAAGCUAUGUGUUUGAUUAAUGGAGAGGUAGAACCUAAUGAGCAUACAUAAAGCCUAUUUAAUUAAAAUAAGUACAUUUACAAUCGUUCAGGUAUGUGUUGUUGAGACAAGAUCAAAUGUUUGAGCAUUCACACAAAUCAAACUUUCCUUUGGACACUCCAGUUGCCCCUAAAACGUCUUCAAGGUUGGCACACAAGAUGGUCCUCAGCUGUUGCUGAUGCUUCCUCCGCAAAAUCCAUUUUCUUCAUUUUGAUUGGUCUCAAGUAUGGAAUUUGAAGUUCCUCAGCCAAGCUAGCCACACCCAAAUUAGAUGAUGAAACAAUUCCAUGGCAGCAAUAGGAUCAAAUGCGAUGCAAACCAAUUAUCAAAUUCUUGAGCCCCUCAUCCCACCUUGUUUCACAGACCAGGCAAAAAUUGUCUAAUUAUGCAAAAGGUCAUCGACACGGUUGAUUGAAUUGAAGUCCCAAAGUAAUUCUUGAUCAUCGCAUAGACCAACCAAACCUGUCAUAGAAGCAGCACAAGUUUACCUUGCUUGAUAAUAUUUCAAAACAACAGUAUGACUACUGGUAAUGUUAAGGGGGUCUACAUUCAUAUAUGACAGACUAGCCAAAACAACUUUCAACAUUUUCUUUAUCACCAAACAGAAACACUUGAACCUUGAAUUUUAUUUUAUCUCAGUUCAUCAUAUUCUGAGAAGCGAUGCUCUUCUUAGAAGGUUAAUGAGGGACAUCAAGAGAACAAUAAGAAACUUGACGGGGGUUUCGUUCAUCACAGAAAAUCAAAACGUGUUUGUCCCAAUCAUGAUAUCUGCCAUUAAUCAAAUUUGACAUACAAAAGAACUUACAAAGGAACUCAAAAUGGCCAAGGAUUUUUUUCAAAGAAAAUAUGAACAUUGGACAUUGGGAAAUUCUGGGUGUAGUAUACAAUAAUGAGUAGUAGAAGUUCAUCAGCCUCUAGAUGGAAAUGUUAAUUAUAUGUUUGUAAUCUACAGAAGCUGGCAACAGAAGAAUAAACAAAAAACAUUGCUAUAAUGUAAUCAACAGCAAUUAUACAGAGGCAAAUCCGGAGUUUCCAAAUCAAUCAAAUAGAUAUCCAUUGUAGAGCAAAUCAUUCUAAAAAUUUCUUUUUUCGCUUAUACCGGCAUUUCAAGGAUGAAGAAUCUUACUAUGCCUUCUAUUGGGUCUACAUUUUGAUCUUGGCUGAAACAUCACGUCAGCUUCUGGCCAACUCCCCCACUCCUUCAAUUAUGUAAGACUAGCAAUUUAGACCCUGUCAUGGAAAGCCUUCUUGUCAGAAGAAGAUGGUGAUGUAAAGUUGGUCCUGGAUCUCAGAAGAAAUAUGAUUGUUCAUUGCUUAUUUACCUUUGUUGAAGAAACAUUACUCCUCACUGUUGUAAUAUGGGUGUAAAAUUUAUUACAUCAUUAUCACCACAAGAUAAUGUUUCCAAAGAGAACUAAAACAAAAACUAGGGAUGUCAUUCAUAAUUGAUGUUGACGUGCGUUUCAGAUAAGUUAGGUAUUGCUUCCAAUGAGUCACAACUAGAAAUAUUCAAAGAAAUUAAAUUCAACAUUUCAAGUCCCCGAAGCUGAGCAAGUUUCUUGCAGUCUUGAACCAUUAGAAAUCGUAGCUUCUCAAAUCCUGUCAAAUCUGGCAAAGCCUCUAUUGAUUUGCAUCCUGUAAGAUCCAACGUUCCUAAGAACUUCGCACCGUCAAGACCUUGAAUUUCAACUAGAUUGCUGCACCCAGAAGCCUUGAAUGUCUUCAAAUGCUUGCAUUCAUAUAAACAUAAUGCUUCCAAUGAGUCACAACCAGAAAUAUCCAAAUAAGUUAAAUCCAACGUUUCAAAUCCCCGAAGCUGAGUAAGUUUCUUGCAGUCUCGAACCAUUAGAGAUCGUAGCUUCUCAAAUCCUGUCAAAUCUGGCGAAGUCUCUAUUGAUUUGCAUCCUGUAAAAUGCAACUCUUCUAAGAACGUCACACCGUCAGGACCUUGAAUUUCAACUAGAUUGGGACACAUCCAUUCACAUAAUAAUAAGUUAGGUUUUGCUCGCAAUGAGUCACAACCAGAAAUAUUCAAAUAAGUUAAAUUCAACAUUUCAAGUCCCCGAAGGUGAGCAAGUUUCUUGCAAUCUUGAACUAUUAGAGAUCGUAACUUCUCACAUCCCGUCAAGUCUGGCAAAGUCUCCAUUGAUUUGCAUCCUGUAAAAUCCAACUCUUCUAAGGAAUUUGCACCGUCAAGACCUUGAAUUUCAAUUAGAUUGCCGCACCCAGAAGCCUUGAAUUUCUUCAAAUGCUUGCAAAAAUAUAUAAAUAUGACCUCCAAGGACUCCAAAUUAUCACAGCCCUCAAUUUCAACUAGGCUAUCGCAAUGCUCAAUGCGUAAUCGUUUCAGAUGAAUAAAUCGUGAAAGGCUCAAUGUUUUAAUGGAACUGCACUUUUUUAUUGAAAGCUCUUCCAAGUGCAUGAGUCCGCUGAGCGAAAGUGAUGUCAGCUUAUCCCACUCCUCAAAACAGAGUUUCAAUGUUAUUGAGGAAAGCUCGCGGAUGUCUUCAAGUAAAUGGCAUACCUCAAGAUCGAGUUUUUCUAGGUGGAUGAGGCAAAGGAGCUGUGGCAGUCCAAGACUCUGACAAGUAACCGAUAGACAUGUUAAGCCCGAAGGAAGCUCUGGCAGCAACCGGAGCUUGUAACAGCCCUUUAGGUCAAGGCUUCGGAGAGAAGAAGGAAGCGCUGGCAACGAUCGGAGCUCCUUACAGUGCCAUAGGUAAAGGCUUUGGAGAGAAGAAAGAUUACGGACGCUUUCUGGCAGGUCAGAUAUCAGUGUCUUAGAGAGAUCGAGAAUCUUAAGGGAAGGCAAGUCACCGAUUUCACUUGGAAUUGCCCCUUUCAGACUACUGCACCAGAUGAGAUGUAGAAACUGCAGAUUUUUCAACCCUCCAAUAGCAUUGGGAAGCUUUUCGAUCGCAGAACUAUGCAAGUUAAGGUAUUGCAAAUUCUGUAAAUCACCAAUUGAGCUGGGGAUUUCUCUCAGUGACUCACACGAGGUGGCACUCAGUGUCUUCAAUUUCCUCAAAGAACCAAUAGACAAAGGAAUUGUUGUAAUACCAGAUUCAUCUAAAAUAAGUUCUUCUAAAUCUUUUAAUCCACCCACCUCCUCUGGUAGCUCCUUGAGACCACUGCAGCAAUGCAAGUCCAAGGUAACGAGACUUGUGAGUUUGCCAAUAGAAGGGUGGAGAUGCUCCAAUCCAUCACAAUCGCUCAAUAGGAGAAUUUUCAAUUGCGUGAAAGCUGAGAGUUCAGGAGUACAUCUUGAAUUAGGAAAACCUCCAACGCAGAGAACUUUAAGCUGCUUUGACGCCUAAUACAAAAGGAGAAUAAUCCGUCAAAUGAGGAGUUGAUUGGCUAAACAAAAAAACAAACCUCAAGAUCGCAGAGAGGAUGUAUUCUUUUCCCAAUCUUACCUUGAAUGAAUUCCAUCCUUCCCAAUUCUCUGUGAUUCCUUCCCGAUCCGUCCAUAAGUGCAGCACCGAUAAUUUUGGCAAAUGAAAGUUGAUCGUCGAAAGAGACGCAUCGUUUCUACGAACGCCCCACUGAAGCCAUCUCACUUCAGAAAACUUGGAAUCUCCGCUAGAAGCUGCCCCCAAAAAGUCGUGGAACCAGGGGCGUCUCUGCAAGUUUUUUCACUUUUCAGUUUUUGCUUUUUUUAAAUCUUGAAUUUGCACGAUUACCUUUUUAUCCUUCCCCUGUACAUGUAUGGAUAUGUAAACUCACAUUUAUUUCUUCUUUUUUUACGACCUUUUGAAAGUUAAACAAAUGACGCAAAGAUAAAGAAAAAAAUAAUUAUUGCUUUAAAACAACCGAGGCAAAUGCACCUCAAUGUUUUAUCUCUUGCUUCUUCUUCUUUUUCAAAAUUUUGUAGCGCAUGGAUUUUCACUUUCAUUUAAGAAGAAAUACAUAAAACUAGUUUACAACGUACAAAUGUUUACUUGUAAAUUUUUAAAUGACUUAUAAUUUUUAAAAGAAUUUGUUAAAGAGUGUCGACGGGCCACCUGUAAGUAGCUAAGGAAGCACCCUAUUUUCAUUUCAUUAGUUAAAUGUAAUAAUGUGGAAGAGAAAAAAAAAAGGGAAUUUUUAAUAUAUUCAGAAAUAUAGAAAAGUUUAUGUGGAGGGAAAUUAAAAGAAAUCAAAUAUGAUAUGCAUUAUCAAAAUAGAUAUAGAAAAUUAAAAGAAAUAUCCUUUUAUCUCUAGAAGGUAUCUAAAUAUCUUUAACGUCAUUAACUAUUUGCAUGGAGUGUUUACUCAUUUCUUUGACAAUCGAAACAUUUUUUUUUUGGGUAAAGUUUGUUUAAAAAGUGACGUGGCGACAUUGGUUAGUAGUUUUGACCAGGAUUGAAAAAAAUAAGUCGCUUUCAGAAUAACUAGAAAAUGAACCGAUUAACGAAAAAGUGGUGGUAUCAUUGUUUAAUCAUCAUAUGUUGGUUUCCAUAAGAAUAGCAUCGUUUCUUUUUCCAUCUUAUAAAUCAAAAAACAUACUAUUUAACUUUCCUGCUAAAACAGAUAAUUUAAUUAGUUGCAGACGGUGAAAGAAAUUUCCUUAUGGCUUUAUUUGACUUUUAUAAUAAUGCCUAUAUUUUCCCCCAAAAGUUUAAUUGGUUAGAAAUUCACUUUUAUGGUUAGACAUGUUUGUCGUUAUAUCUGCUUUAAAUAUUAACCAGUGAAAUGCAAUGGGUAUAAAUUCUCUUAAGUCUAUUUGUCUGAAAGUCACUAAAUUGUUGUAAUCACCAUCCCACACUAUCUUUAAUAAUUUUCGCUCGUACAUCAAUCUAUACUAUGUAUUACAUUAAAAAAAUCUAUUGUAUGGAAAGAGGAUUUCAAACCUCAAACUUUCGUCAAAAGUUUCCACACAAUUCGCAUAUAUUUCACCAAAAUGAACUAAAGAAAUAGGAUAUAACAAAAUAGAAAUAAUCAUAUUUGAAAUAGUCAAUUGGAAAUUAGUCCCACAAGUAUUUCAAUUUCCAAAGUUAAAUCAAAAUCUCUCGAAUCGUACAAUAAUUUCAUUUUUUUCGUCAUCUUUCAGCAUUUUUAUCCAUUCAAAACAGAAUUGACUUUUCUUUUUCAUUUUUCCGAACACCUAAAUGGUGUGCUCUUUUUGCUAAUGUUAAGAAGUUAUUGGAUCCACAAAAGAGACUGAUAUUAAAUCAUAGGAACGAACUAUUUCAAAUUAUAUCAAGAAUAUAAAGCUGCUUUGUUUGCCCAACAUCUCUUGGUCAAUUUAUAGGGUUAAUUCCUUGCCAUUGAUCAGCCAUGAGCCUGUGAAGCUUUUCAGAUGGACAAUAUUUAAUAAAAUGACAUGAACAUUGAUAAUUUAAGUAAAAGAUAAAACAUAUUUGAGAAAAUUGGCUUCAUGCUGAAAAUCAUAUAUGGUGAAUACAAGGUUAUGGAUAUAAUAAUAAGCAUGACAUUUCCUCCGAUUAAUCAAUUUUUCUUUUUUUAAUUUAAAAUAGUCAAGUUAGUGUAGCGAAUUCUCGCACAAAAGAGGCAUUGUCCCAAAAAAUAUAAAUAAUAUUAAACAACUUAUAGAGGAUAGAAAUGUCUGUCAUAAGGAAAUCCACUCUUUCUUAUACACCUAGACCUUACCUAAUCCAUGAAAUGAGCAAGGUCAAUGCGAUACAUCCUUAAAAAACAGUAAGAUUUUCUUGUAUAUAUUUUUAAGGAGAUUUUUGCUAUCUAUUAAGAGGAAAUAAGAAUGAAAACAGAUAGAUCUGGGACGGUAUCUUCCAAAUCAAAAUGGAGAAAAAAAAAUAUCAAACAUUCGAUUCCUAAAUCACGAGAGCACCACAAUACAUUCGGCCGUAAUAGAAAGCAAACAUAUGUGAUACGCGUGAAAUUUUUUUCCAAUCUUAUUUUUGAAUUAAUUAUUGGUUAUUAUACUAUCCUUUCUUUUUUAACCAGGAAAUCUUCACUUAUUUGAUCUUAAUGUUUAUACUUCAUCUUCAUUCAUAAUUAUAGUCCUUCUAGUUAUCAAUAUUUUCAAAUAGUUAUGACAAUUGCAUGCUUUAAGUAAAUGAGAUUUAUAGUCUAAAAUUGUAGUUAAAGGAUCUUAAAUUAAUUGUCAAUUAAAUUUUUACAUAUGUAAUGCAUAACAAUGAAAUUGAAUCAAUGAUAUUACUUUUUCAUCCCUGAGAUACUUGCGAUUUAUUUAGUGUCACGGUUAAUCUACAAUGGACAAAUGGAUGUUUAAAUAUAUUUUUUUCCUAGAAAGUAAGAGCAUCAUUUCCCGCUCAAUGAAAUAUUAGAAUAGAUCAUAUUAAAUUGAUUAAAAUAAGAGGGAGAGAAAAAGAAAAGAGUGCCAUAUUUUACCUCUAGAUAUCUUAGUACUCUUGGGACUCCCUCAUAGUCAUUGUCCCAUGGUCCACUAUGUUUCUCAAGCGAUUGUCCUUGGCAAAAAAUGCUCCUUCCAAGAUCUCUCAGUUGAUCAUGCACCAUGAACUCACCAUGAUCUCCAAUUUUAAUUAAGCAUCUCAACUUCAACUCUUCAAUUCCUUGACUUGGAUAAAACCCACAGUCCUCCCACAUGUAAAUGGCGUAUUUGCUCAUUCCUCCAAUAAAGAAACAAACAAUGUCGAGAAAAAUCUGUUUUUGUCCAUCUUCUAAUGCAUCAUAACUUAUUUGCAAUAUCUUUUGGACAUCUCUAUGUGGUUGGUUUUUUAACUGCUUCUUCACAUCUUCCCAUACUUUUCGAUCCAUUUUUUUAUACAAGUAAGAACCUACAACCUGAAGAGCCAAGGGAAGCCCACCCAUGGUGGAUACAAUAUCACCAGAUAUACCUUCAAAGUCCCUUGGAUAAUGGUCCUUACGAAAUGCAUGUUUGUUAAACAAAAGCCAAGCAUGCAUCAUAUCCAAUUCAUUUAGUUUAUACUUGUAGUCUACCUCAAAUUCAGAUUGAUCAAGAAUAGCUUCAUUCCUAGUAGUAACAAUGAUCAAACUUCCUGCCAUAAACCAAUCACGUUUCUUAGCCAAUGCAUCAAGAUGAUUCUUAUCAUCUAUAUCAUCUAGAAGAACGAGAACCUUUUUUCCUCUGAAUCUAGAUUUGAUUAUAUUAAUUCCAUCAUCAAUUCUAGACACUUCAUUUUUGCUUUGUAGUAUAUCCGAUAUUAGUUGACUCUGUAAAUAUGUAAUCCCCUUUUGUCUAAUAGUUUCUCGAACAUCUGGAAGGAAGCUGGAGUGCACAAAUUUAUUCAAGAGUUGAUUGUAGAUGCACUUGGCAAGAGUUGUCUUGCCUAUCCCGCCCAUGCCAUAAAUUCCAAUCAUUCGAGCAUUCAUGGAAGGACUGCCUAUCCAAUUCAUAAUUUCCUUCAUACGACCAUCAAGUCCAACUAGUUGUUGAGGCACAUCUAGCUGAAAAUCUUCCUGUAACUUCCUUAUAAUAGUUUCAACCACACGCUCAACCAAUUCUCCUUCAUGCCUGUCAAACAACAAAAACAAUGAAAGAUUAUGAACCUAGACAUAGUCUUUGCGAAGCAUUCGAUCCUUGUCAACUUAGCUAAUCCUUGUUGGCUAUAGGAGGUCAAUUUUAUCCAGUGGUGAUCAAGCUUCAAAAGACUGUGCAUUGGAGUCCUUUGUACACCUAUUGUUUAGUGAUUGAUACUAUUAGCUAGAGGUAUUGUCGUUUCUAUGUUUUUUUUUUUUUUUUUGGCUCUAUACCAGAGGAAAAUAUAAAAUUCUUGGGCACUAUGGAAAGCUUUGGUUUUAGUUGUCGUUGAUUUGGUUUUCAGAGACAUCUUGGGGAGUAAUGGUGUUUGUUGUCUUCGAGGCAUUAUGGUUGUUUAUUGGGACAUUUUGGGGAUCUGUUCAGAGCUGCAGUGAAUCAAUUCAUUUGCAUCUCAUCGGUUCUGCAAGAAGAAGAAAACUUAUCAAAAAAAGAAAAGUUAUAUGAAGUACCCGUUGGCAAAUUUCUCAGAUUCCCAUCCAUGUAAGAAACUGACUUCAUUAAGUGCCCGCUGCACUUCCAGGAUAUCCUUCUCAUUAAGAUGCUUCUUACUUGAAUGGAAGGCAUCCCCAAAACUCCCUUUUAGAUACCGCACAUCCGAUGGCUUCACUUCGUAAAAAAUUGGCAACACUAUGUGUGACAUGCUAUUCUUACAAGCUGUCAUAUAAAUAAGCUCACGGAGGCACCAUUUGCUCGUAGCAUAAUUUUUGGAGAUGAUGGGGAUCGAAAUCUUAGAUCGUGAGAUGGCACUGAGAAUUUGUGAACCAAAUUCCUCACCAAUUGGGAUGCUGUUAUCGUCCUUGAACACGGAAAUAGGUACAAUCCCUGUGUUGACCAGUCUAUGGUAGAGGUGAUCGGUGAAUUUCUUUCGAGUAUCUAAUCCUCUAAAGCUCAAGAAUACGUCAUAUUGAUCACCACCUUGUGUUGUGGGUACCAGAGAGAUGAACGAAGAAGUGGAUGCUCCCUCGGUGCUCUCUUCCUCUACUCUCUUUCGCUUUCCCUGACUUUGCUCUCCGUCCAUGGUGAUCUGAGAGGGGAAGUUGAAAUGAAAGAUGCUUUUUCCACUGCUUAAAAGGAUUGAUGAACAACAAGACACUUUUAGGAUGCUUUUCUGCAAAUGCUCGCUGGCUUGGUCCACUCCAAAUAACGUGGAUGUGAAUUUCUUCCCUAGGCAAUGCUGAAGGAGGUUCGUAUUCUUGAGAAAGAGAUUUUGAUGACACGGCCCUCAGUUAAGUAAGCUGACGUCAUUUCACUGUGGAAGAUUAGGUGGCCCUAAAGAGGCCUUCGAAAAGCCCACAUCAUUUACUUGUUUAGAAACACAAUUGAAACUUGAAACACAUAUUGAUAUUAAAACUCAUAUUUAAACAGAUUGAAGUGUAAAUAAUCGACUUUCUUAAAGCACAUUUGAACAACUACAUAACUUCAUGCACGUCUAAAAUAUUUAAAGACUGAUUUUUUCGGUUCACACCUAAGAUAUUGAAACUAUGUAGGAAACACUAUGGAAGCAUCUUCCUCUGACUAUAAGCUCACACGAUGCCUAAUUGUUGUCAUUAUAUUUGACCUUACUCUUAUUAUUUUUGGCCUAAUGAUAAACAACCCUGACUGUGUCCCCAACCUCAUUAUCACAACCCCUUCUAUGUCUAAUCCCAUUUCCAUUGGCCAAACUAAUGUAGUGUCACGUAAUUGUUGCCCAAUAACCUCAUCCUCUAGAUGUGUGCACUUUUCUACUCGCGAUUUUAAUUUUGCAGGGUUCAAGUUUAAGGCAUCGCUCAUAUGUAAAAUUAACUAAAGCUAAAAUAUUAAUCCUGGAAAAAUUUUCAAUUGCCCAGUUGCUUAAAUUGUGAAGGAAGUCGAUGAAAAUGAUUCUAAAUGAAAGACAACUAAUUCCUUUUGGGCCCACGUUUUCUUUUUCCCUUUCUAGAAGUGCAUAGAAAUUAGGAAAUGUAAAAGUUGCACUUUUCUUCCAAAAUUGCCCUUGCUUCCUUUGUUAAGGAUGAAUAAAUGAAGGAUAAUCAAGUCUAUCAAUGAAAUUAAGUUCCAUUUACAUCAUUUCCACCCAACAUGUAUACGAACAUAUUUCAAGGAAUUUUAACCUUCCCUCUCAUGGUCUGCCUGUUUUUUCAUCCUUCUUUUUUAAAAAUUUUAAAAUUUAUGGCUUUAGUAUGCUCAAAAUUGGGCCUUUUGUGGGAUAAAAAUUUAUGGCUCUGAAAUAAGAUUAAUAUUAAUACAAAAGGCUGCGUCCCACUUGUAGUUAGAAUACUGCGGGAAGCAAUUUUGCUUUUUUCUUUAGAUGUGAUGCAAUACGUUGCAUCUUUUUGCAUGUAUACAAAUUAGCAUAUCAGACGGUGUCAUGUUGACAUUUCAUAUGGUGAAACGUUUAAUAUUUGCAUUUGUUGUGUCGUGUCAUCUGACCCGCUUUAUUAAAAGAGUCAUGUUCAUAUCGUGGCGGUUCAUCGCAUUUACUAAACAUUUCUUGUUCAGCUUUUGUCAUAUUCAUAUUAUAUCCUACUUCAACAUGAUACGACAAAAAUCCUCAGCUAUAUCUUUAAACACAUGACCGCUCACAAAACCAAUGGAAAAUAAAUAAAAAGAAUGUCCAAAGUCUCUGAAUUUUUGUGGUAUUUAAGGACCGCUCAACGAAACUUAUACUUGAUUUUUUUCCGAACAAAAAAAAAAAGAAUUGCUAAAAGUGAACAAGUCUCUCGGCCUUUGUUCUCGGAUCAGGGUACUCUCCCUCCUGCUUAACUUCAAUCAAUCUUAGACCUCUUUGUUCUCUCUGCUUGUGUUUUGGUUCAAAUUCGGUGAUUUCAUAUUUUCAUCUUAUUUAAAAUUGCUAUAUUCUUAAUGAAGUUGUAAAUGUGAGGUAGACAUCAAUUUAAUGUUAUUUAAAUUAUCGAUUGAUAUAUUGUCUACAAAAUAGAGCUACAAUUUCUUAAAUGACAUCCAAUGAGCAUGACAAGUUAAAAUCAAGUUACUAAUGAUAUAUGAAAUACUUGUACACUGUCAUUUCUUUUAUUAAAAUUUUGUUGGCAUAUUAUUCAGCUCUUGAAAAAUCAGUAGACGAAUGAAAAAAGAAGUGUGCGAAAUAUUUUUUUUUAAAAAAGAAAAAGAUAAUUUCGGAGAAAGCAUAAAAAAGAAGGGAAUGAAGUGUCAAAUGAAAUCUCCUUUGACUGAAGACUUACUCUUAGGAUGAUUGGUUUCAAGAUGAUUAGGUUCUAAGCUAAGAAUUAGGAAUUUAUACAAUAAUAAUCGGUUCUCCAUUUUUGUAUCCGAGAACCAAACUAGCUGACCCCAAACUGGCUGACUUUUAUUUUUCUGAUUUAUUUUUCUAUGAAUUGAUCUAGGACCUUCAAACACAGAGAAACCUCACAACGCAUUAAAAAAAAAAAAAAAUCUCUGGAUUCAAGCAAAAUAUGGAAAUUUUGCGCGCAAUAGAUUCUGGCGCACUUGCAGAUCUACUCAUUCUAGUUCAACAAAAGAUUAAUACUGAAUUGCAAUGCAACUAACAAUCUGACAACAAGGCCAUCAUGGCAUUAGCCACAUCUAAAGUUGAAAACAAAGGAUUUCUUUUUUCACCGAAGUCAAAUCUGAGCGGGGGGACACCCCUCGUCAACAGGCAGCAGCGACUCCAAAGAAAGAAUAAAAGACCCUCCUCAGCUAUUCAGCAGCCACCCCACAUCGCCAAUAGACAAAAAGGGCCCAAAGCACACUAGUUCAGCCCAUCAUUAUUCCAAUAACAAAGCAGCGGAUCAAUAGAAACGACAUGCUAAUUAGACAUGAAAAAGCAAUUACCUCCCGCGAGCCGAGACGCAAAGAGAGGUGCGAGAUCAGAGAGAGGAGACCCUAAACAAGCCUAGUUGAGAACUUUCGAGAGGGAAAAGAUCAAAGAAAGCGAAUGAGGACGAUAGUUUUGAAUUGUUCUGCAAAAGAGAGACCGAACAUGAGAAUGAGAGAGAGAGAGCACAAUUUGGACCAGAGUUCAGAAUGACCAAUUCUGUUCAUAUCUACUUAUAAACCAUUUUGUUAAACAGAUGAAUGUGGCUCUUGCUAAUUUUUCAUUAUGAUAUUAUCAAAGACGUACUUCCUCCUGUAAAUGCUACGUUCUCUCCCACCCUAAACGUGCAUUAAUCAUAUUGUCAAAUUUAUAGUAGGUCAGUAACUUUCUAUGCUAUAUAUACGUAAAAGUCACGUAUUUGCUGUAAGCAAUUAAACUACAUGAAAACCACACUUUGUGAUGAGUUUAUCUAAUUCAAUCUGCUAAGACACAGUCCACCUAAAAAUUGUCCACAUAUUAAAUAUGUGUAAGUGCAUUGAAACCAGCAGCUUUGCUUAAUUUCAAGUUUUCUAUGGUAACCAACACGGGAAAAAAAAAUAGUACAAUUGUGUAUAAUUUUUGGAAAACAUUUGAAUUUUCUGUCAUUUUCCAGAAAUUACGAAAAUUGACAAUAUAAUGGAAAAUAGCUUUAUGGACAUUAAAAAAUUCUCUAGUUAAUUUGAUCUGUUCAGAUAAUUUUUUGUUGUUGACAAUUCUGAUCCGUAGCCUUUGAAAGGUUUUGAGCGAUUAUUGAAGAGAAUAGACCAGCACAAUCGAUAUUUGAAAAAAAAUCUAGUUUUUAACUGUUUCCAAGGAAAAAAAAAGAAUUACUUUUCCCAAAACUGAGUAUUUUGGAUGUUUCAAGCUUUAUUGCGUCUAGAAAGGUAUUUUCGUAAUCUUAAGACAGGCCUUUUGUCCCAAGGGAGUUCAGUCAACCAUUAAUGUUUUGCAAACAAUAUCGGGAUGAGGGCCAGCAUGUGAUUCCACCAAAUUCAAUCGGUCUAACCAUUCAUAACCAAUUAGUUUAAAUGAGAAGAUUGUAGUAAGAAAAAUUAGCAAUAUAUAUGUACUGAUGAUUUUGAAAAAGUCUGAGGGAAUUUCACAUGUAAUAUUUCGUACGCCUUAUGAGUAAUAAUCAAAUGUAUAUUAUUAUUUGUCCGAUCAAUUGUAAUAGACUGAAGAAUAGAGGUCGUGCUUACCUCGAGGAGCUCACUGUGAUAGGUUUCGGUGUUUGAGAAGAAGUCGCCUCGAAGCAGAUCGAGUUGUGUCUGAGUCCCGAAAGGCAGCGCAAUUCCAAGGAUCACCUACACGCCUCGACCUGGACCAGCUUGGUUUGGAGAUACGCCGAGGUAAAUUUGUAGAUCAUCUCAGGUUCAGAACAUCACGAGAAAGGACGAGUAGUGGCUACAAAAUCACCAACAGUAGGCAAGGAACUUACUAUCUCUCGAUUAAAUCGCAGCUCUUCUCUGGUAUAUCUGGAGAUCCCAGAAACAACCCUCGUGUUCCGAGCGAAGACCGCGCCACCAAACCCAGGAACCCUAAUCGCGUCAGCGGAGUCCACAAUCAGAAAUUAUAGCAAGCGGAACACUAAAAAGUUGGAAACUCGACACGAUUCGAGUCGAUUUUACCUGUUAAUCGGUGCCCGCCGAAUACCCAGUGUUGACACCUAGAUUUUGACGGUCCGUUUAGUCAUUUAUCGCAUUAAAAUUAGGGUUUAAUCAAUAAUUAAUUAAUUGCAUAGCAUUUAGUUGUAGGUGCAUUUAUUUUUUAUUUGCAUUUACUGGACCGGUUGUGGAUGGGUUGAAUCGGUGUUUUUGAAUUUUAAAUUAAUAGGCCGGGCUAGGCCCAUGAAAGGAUAAAAUUAACCUAAGCCCGUCGUUGUUGUUUAAUUGAUUAUCUUGUGAAAAUUUAAGAUUUGAUGCGAUAUUAUGAUGAUUUUUGGAAAUUUAAAAAUCGCACUCUAAUCUUAAAGUUGGGAAUAUUAAGGAGGAUAAGGAAUAUUCUAAAAUAUUUUGGUGCGGAUGGAUAUCUCGAAAGAUUUUAGAAUUGGAUAAUGGAGUUUUAUCUAAAGUGAAUUAUUUGGAAAAUCUUCACAAAAAAAAUUCCAGUUUAUCUUCAAUCGCUGAGUCAGCAUAUAAAAUCUUCAAUGGUCGAGCGAGUCAGCUUGGAAGAUUUUAAUAGAUGAUUUCAAUGGCCGAGUGAGUCAGUAUACACGAUAAUCUCGAAAGAUGAUCUUCAGCAAUUGAGUUGUUAUGCAAAUCUUCGUAGGUUGAGCAGACUAAGUUUUCACUCUAUAAAUGGGGGUGGCCUUCUCUUCGUCCGGGGGAGCUUCUUUUAAAAAAAUUCAGAAAAAGUGAAAGGGGAGAGAAGCCAUCCGUGGAGGUUAAAAGGAAAGAAGAGAAAAAAGCAAAAAGCUUCUGCAGAAAAGCGAAGGAAGAGGGAGAGUGACGUGAGAGAGAGAGAGAGAGCGAGAAGAGAAAAGUAAAGGGGUGAUUUGACCCCUACUGUUCAUCAUCUUCCCCAAAUCGCUGCUCCUCCUCUGCAACUUCCAUCCGCGAGGCUUCCGCCACCGUGUGUUCGCCACAGCCGCUUCAGCGGUCUCCCCACGAAGCUCGCCGCGACGACGCCGCGCCGCCUGGAGCUCGAAGCCAGUCCCGUCCGACACCUGGAUCUUCCUCCGCACGAGCCCCGACGACUCCCGCCGUUCGCCUCUGCCGUCUCCCCUGCAGCGCCUCCACCCGCGACGCGUCUGUUCCGACGCCGCGCCCACACCACGACAACGCUGCUGUAACCACCGACCGCUGCACCCGCACCGCGAUCUCGCCUGUCGCCGGAGCUCUCCGAAGCCCACGACCUGCAACUUGCGCCCGGCAGCACAGUGGUCUGCCUCCACUCAGCCUACGCCACCAUACCAGCACCUCUGCCCAGUCGCCGUUGUUGCUCUGAUUUGCUGACCCACGACGCCGAAACUAAACGCCGAGCCACUACGCACCCGUGGGACAACAUCGCUGCGACCCGCAACCCCGCUGUUCGCCGGUCACUGACGCCGCCCUGCCGUGUCGAUCCGCAACGACCUGCCGCUCAAGCGACGAGCUGCUACCCCUGGAUCCGAAUCUGCUGCUGUCCUCGGUGCACCAUCAGCUACUGCCCGAGAGAUCAGCCGUUUUGUUGCAGGUUUACUUUCACCGGAGCCAUCAUCGUGCAACCACCGUCGCCGCGGAUACCCUUCGCCGGAGCUCCUUGUCGGCAUUUUUCCCCGUAGCCGAAGCCUCCUGCUCCGUCGCACUCCGCCUGCAAUCGGUGACCCGACGCCACGGAUCCAGUGACCUGACGACCCGGGGUUGCUCUCCGUCCCGCUCGUGACCGACGCCAGGAGAUCCGAACCCCCUGCUCCGCGCACCAGCACUCGCGAGCAUCGUUGUGCAGCAACCUGCGACCCGCAACGCCCGCGAGCCCUCUCGCUGCUCGACCCGACGCCCGUGCCUGCACCUCCCGCGCCACCUUGCCGUCACUGACCUGCAGUACCCGACGCCGGCCACCGUCCGUCCGGCGCCCAUCAACGCUGCAGCAAGCCCCUCUUUCUUUAGGUGGUUUAGCUUUUUCUUUUAUUUAUUUUGUUCUAUUUUACCUCAUUUUUACUUUAUCUAUUUAAGUUGUAAUAUUUGAUGUUAAUAUUUGUGAAUUUAGUAUGCAUUAUCCGCAGGGAUUUUUGUUUGGAAUUAUUAUAAUUAUUAAUUUGAUCCAAGAGACAUUGGAUCAUUUUUUUAAUUAUUUUAAUUGUUGGGCUUUCUUAGUGAAAUUUUAAUUGUUAAAUCACAAUAAUUAUUUAAUUUGGUCCGUAAGACUUCGGAUCAGAUUUAUAAUUAUUUUGAUCUCUCUGCUGUGAUAACUAGGGUUAGAAUAACCGUUAAUUUGACCUGUGAGACAACAGGUUAUCUUUUCGAUUAUUUUAAUCAUUUCUUGCUUGAUUUUGUUGAUAGUUUAGAUUUAAUAAUUAUUUAUCUCUUAAAAAAAACUAAAGAAAUCAUAAGAUAAAAAAAAAAAUCAAAAUUCUGCAUGAGUAUAUAGGUUUAGUAAAUCAAGCAUGUAGGUUUAACAAAUUAGGAUUUUCUUAGGAUUGCAUUUUUAAGAUUGCAUUUUUAGGAAUAAGUUAGGGUUGAACCUAAAUAUUUUUUAGGGUUUUAGAUAAUGUUCGCAUAUUCUAAUUAUCUCAUUUUCCCAAAAAAAAUAGCUUUCUAAGAUAGGAUAGGGUUUAAGUCAAACUAAUCCCUAGAAUAAAUUAGAAAGUUAUCAUUUUUAGAUAGAUUAAUUAAGGUUUUCAUGAAUUCUGAAUUUCAAUAUAAAAAAUGCAAAAAUACUAGGUGCAUGUUAACUAGUUUGCAUAAUAGGAUUAUUUAAUCAAAACUUGUUAAUUAGUGAAGUUAGGUCAUGAGGUGCAUAAUAAUUAGUUUGCAUAAUAGGCCCAUUUAAUUAAAUUUUGCAUAUUAAUAAGAUUAAGUCAUUUGGUUUAAAAAUGCAUUUUCAUAAAAUCAUUCUAAUUUUUAAGAAAACCUAAAGAAAAAAAAUGAUUGCUUGCUUUGUGUGAUGCAAUUUAUUUAUUUGAUUGCUUUAAUAAUGGAUGAGCACCCGUGUGGUCACCACAUUUGGAUGAUAGUAAUUUAGGUUAAAAUAAAUCAGCUGCUUGCAAAAACAUUUUGAAAAAUUAAAAAGAAAUGGUACCGAAAGGGCAUUAGAAAAUUCUAAUGUAACCAAGUCCCCGUACCCUUAGUCUUUGGUUCGUAGGAGUAAAAUAAAUCUCCAUUUAUUUUACUUAGGUGUCUAAUCGACCUACCAUAAACCGAUUAGUGGCGACUCCUAGAUAAUCAUCUUUUGCAUGUUAAAAAAAAUUAAACCUAAGUCGCGAUUUGGUAUGGGCUUGGGAGAGCCCGAGCUAAGUGUAAAAGCUUAGCAGUCCAUUAACCUAGUUUUAGGUGGUUCACACCCGCGAAAAUCUGGUCGCGACACCCAGUCCCUCAAGAGAACUAUCAACGGGGUCCCUUGAAGACGGUGGUUCGGAAGGAGCGAUUGCAGGUGCUCUUCGUGACGGCCUCAGGCGUACUGCUCGAUGGAUUCGCGAGAAAGAAGAUUCCUUGCUUCGUCCACCGAUUCAAGCUGAAGCUCUCGCUCUGUUAGAGGAUUCGAUGUGCUUCAGAUCUAGAAGUAGAGGGAACUUGUACUCGGGAGUCGGACAACGCGGUUCUGUGUUGACUCUCUCUGCGAAAGCAUAAUCAC
This 66595-nucleotide long non-coding RNA is filed under the name Eucalyptus grandis. RNAcentral's name for it is "long non-coding RNA (EGRA_LNC000890)". The record is from RNAcentral. Lineage: Eukaryota; Viridiplantae; Streptophyta; Magnoliopsida; Myrtales; Myrtaceae.